RNAcentral lists this long non-coding RNA (49957 nucleotides) under Coffea arabica (coffee). RNAcentral describes it as "long non-coding RNA (CARA_LNC007855)". The record is from RNAcentral. Lineage: Eukaryota; Viridiplantae; Streptophyta; Magnoliopsida; Gentianales; Rubiaceae.
GAGUUUGGUAGCCAAAAACCAGUCCAUGAGAUUUGCAUUAUAAACACAUAACUCAGUAAUAUGUGAGAUACGGAGACAGCAUCAAAAUAAACCAAAAACUGUGUCCACAAGAUGCUUAUUAGAAAAAACUAAAUUCCAGAACAGGAUAGUCUAGGUCCAGGUCGCAUUACAUCGAAGAGUUUCGAACAGAAUUUCACGGAUUAAUAAUGACACAAUCUCAGCAGCCUCAGCAACCUGUUAGAACAUUGAACAAACACCAUUAGAUACGUUGAAGUGAAAAAGAUAAAUAAAGAAAAAGAGAAGAAAAAUGUCACCACAAUAAAUAGUAGAAGAACUAUAAACUGGUUUUCCUAUUGAUUUUUUUGUUCCGAAAAAAAAAAAAAGAUAUGCAAACAACAAUAACCGACUAAGAAGACCACAAAAUUUCGACACGACUAAGAAGACCACAACUUUUUAGGACAAUCCACUGUCCCAAACGGAUCCCAUACCAGUACCGGUGUCAAGUUAUGUCGACACGGGUACAUUGGGGUAAAACAAAGAGCUAAUCUGUUAGUGUCACCAGUUUGACAAGCAUGGUGCAGCUUAUACCCCUGAUGGCAACAAUGGCUUUCACCCUGACAAAAUUAUACAUAACUUGAUGACUAUGUCUUGGAAAAUCUUGUGCAUUGCUCAGGCUUCCAAGAAAGAUAGAUGGUGAGAGUGAUAGCUGGAAAUUUCAAUCACUUAAUAAAGCUCACUUCUCUCUUCCUUUCUACCUGGAUCGUAAGAAUCAACUUUCCAUUCCAUGGAACUGGUCAUGAAAAAGUUAAUGUGUGUUAGGAACCAAAUAUACCCCUCAUUUCAACACACCUUAUUUAUAUCUACAGCCAAGCCCCACAAAAACUUUGGGUUUUAAGAGGACGGAAAGCAAAUUCCAUCAAAAAAACGGUUUCAAGAUUAUAAUCGUGUUUGAAUUUACUGAUGACAAGAAUGAUGAAUCCAGCUACAGCUUUGCCGAGUAAUGUCAUCAGAAAAACCACUUCUAACAGGCUUGAGUAUCAUUCUUCAAUGCAAGUGUAGAUACCAAACCAGUAACAUGCCAACUUGCACUCACAGCAGUUUUGUUACCAGCAAUUAGCCAGUAGGGUUUUCAGACUUCAAUAACAGUAUGAGAGCUGCGAAAACACUAUGCAAUGAAAGUUGCUAACAAGCAACUGUUAAGAAUUGAACUUUGUUCCAACCUCGAAAGGAAAAGAUAUCAGAAACUAUAAUACUCAACAACUGUUAUUUGCCUAUAUCUCUCUCUGCCCCUAACUCAAACAUACUUUCCAUUCAACUGAAGUUCAAACUCAAUAAAAGCCCAGAUUCCCAGGAAUACAGCUUAUUUUUAAAUGUGAGUAUUAUCCUCAGCUAUCUUUUCUCUGGAAAAGCUGUUUAAUCAGAUUCUUUCCUAGCUGGGGAUACAAUGUAUCUCUACAUGCCCCUUGGAAGAGAGCUUUUGGCUACAAACCUCAAUAGGCCACAAUUGUUUUCCAGCUUAGCUCCACUACAUGGAUAAUUUCCUAUUUCUUUUUUUUUCAAGUCCUUUUGCCCAGUAUCAAGUGAAAAAUGAGGCUCAUACAAGAAAUGAAAGCUGUAACUGGCCAAAUCCCAUGGUUUUUUCUUCAUGCGAGCAGUUGCACUUAUAGCCAGUUUGUCACACGCCAAAUAGUCUACUCACUUAAUAUAACUAAAAAGCAGUCACGAAACACAACUGCUCUUAAUAAAAAAGAAGACAUCCAUUUAGCUUGAUGAUUUCAUAAGGUUCAGAUUGAUGCUUUGACAGAAUUUGGUAAACAUUCAGGUACAAAUGAAAAAACCUAGACAGAAACCUGAUGUACUGCAGGUGAACAUUUAUUAUCUAGUACAAAGGCAUUACAUUUGCAAUCUUUUCCAUUACAACAGAAUGAUUAGCUUCAAUACUUCUGAGGUACAAAAUUAUCAAAAUUUGUUCAGUUGACAACAGAAAACUAGUCAGGCCAUUAUAGUUAGCACAUCUAGAAACAACUUUGGGGUUAGAACAUUCAAAGGUAGCAAAAAGCUAAACACAGAUCCACACAAAGCAAAGGAACUAAAAAGUUCUCUCACUGAGUAUGUCUGAGCUGCAACAGAGCAUAUACAUCCUAAAACAAGUUCAUAUACAUUGUCUCCAAAGUGGCACUAUUCUUUGCCUACCAACUGAAGCAAAUCUCCAACCAACAAAAGUAAGGUACAAAAGAAGGAUAUAAGCUUUAUCACAAAGAAGCACAUAAAUGAGCAAUGCAACACUCUUAACAGAUACAGAAAUUCACUAAGAAACUCAUAAACUUGAAUUAAACCACAUUCGAUUAGAGAAAACGUAAAUGACCACUUACAAAACUAAAACAAGAAAAAUCCUUGAUUAAUACUCCCUCCGUUCCAUUUCAUUGACACAGUCAUAUUUUCCUUUUAAGUUCUCCCAAAAUAUUUAUAACUUACAUAAAUUGGCAAACACAUUUGCAUUCAAUUCCUCCAUUUACCGUUCAAACACUCCCUAAAAGUCCAAUGCAUGUGUCUUUUCAUGAGCCCACAGAUUAUUACCAACGAAACUAAGACAACUUCUUUUGUAGUACGCGCUAGCUGGCAUUAAGAAACUAAAGCAAUUAAGUGUUCCGAUGCACGCGCUAGUUGGCAAUCACAUCUGCGAUUGGACAAACAUCUUGGCUCCACAAUUCUUUAUGUCUUAGUACAACACUUAAAGCUCUUCAUGGGGGUGAAACGAGAAACUACAGCAUCAAUUUUCAAAUUCUAUCCACUCUUCAUAAAAAUUACAGUUCCCGAAGUGCGAUAAAUUUUAUGGGAUGAAGACCAAAACUGUCAUUAAAUUGCCUAUCAUACGAGUCAUUAGCUCAUAAAUUGCAAGCACUUCAACCAAAAAUUACAUUUCUAUGCCAAAAACCCCAUUCAGAGAUAACCUUAAGCUGUCAAACAUAGAGAUUAUAAAUCCUAAAGACUGUCAAUUAAAAAAACUAAAGCAAACCCACUUAACAAAACCUAUCCAACAGUCACCCAAGAAAAAAAAUUUUAUUUACCUUCCCUAAGAUUAAACCAAAUAAAACUUGAAACCCAGAAAAAUGUCAAAAAGCCUCCAAAAAAUCCCAGGAAAAAUUAUCCAAAAUAGAAGUCAAAGAAAAAACUAAAAAAUAAUUACCUUUAGAUCAAGCAUUUGGCAGUUUGAGGAAUAGGCUGCGCCGCUGGGGAGCCGUGUUUUUGUUGGGCUUCGGCUUCCGGGAUCUUCUGCAUCCGUUCCAUGACAAGCUCGUACACUCUCUUCUUACCUGCUUGAUUGAUUAACAAAUUGAUAAGACCGAAACAAGUAAUCUAUGUGGAUAUGCCACUCAUAUUCUCUGCCUGAUCAAUUAUACAUGUAAACAAAAUUCACAGCUUGAGGUAAAGCAAAAAUCAAGAGUCGGCCUUGUUUGGAUUCCCAUUUCUUCCCAAAAAAUUUUACACUUUGCGAUAAUGCAUCUUUCAAUCACUUUUUUUACCUCAUAUCAUAUCGUUACAAUAUUUUUUUAACAGAAACUCCAGAAAAUAGUAUCCAGACGGGCUAUUUGCGAUCUCAAAAGCAGCAGUCAAAAUGACUGCUGCACUGCCCCACUCACAUCGGUUGAGCUGAAGGAACUACAAUUACACAGUCAAAAUGACUGAAGCUCUAAUAGAAAGGCCGCCAGAGUUGCUCCAAAUUAACCGGUCCAUAUCCGCUGCUAGUACAGCAAUGAUACUGAAAGAUGAAGUUGCAAUCUUGCUGCUGCUGCUAGUCUUCUCAUUGAAAUUAAUGUCUUAGUAUCCACAGAAUUUUCUCAAGUACCCCACAGCUUUCUCUUCACAGACUCGACCACAAUUACCAUGGUCCCCCCAGCUCUCUAUUGGACUCUUUUCUCAUGGCAGCCGGCUGCCAACCAGGGUGAUAGACUGAUAAACCCAAGAAUCUUUUUCUAUUUUGCUAACUUCCAAGAAAUAAUUUCAAGCAGAAAUUUGUCCCUUUCCUUACCUGCCUCCAAAAGAAAUUAUAGAAAUUACUCUUUGGAGUAUGGGAGUAUAGUAUAGUUUGAAUCAGUCUAAAGACUUGACUUUUCCGACUUGGCAAGUCCACGCAGGAGUUUACAGUGACGGAGCCAUCCUCACUUCAUUUUCCAAGGACCAAUAAUUCCUCCCACCUCAUCCUGCAAAUCCUACACCAGCUUUAAACCGAUCAUCUCCAUCGAUGUAGGAGUAAUCUGUGUGUUUUGGGGUACCCUCUUAAUUUUGCUCCAAUGUUUACUCCUCUUGUAUACCUUUCCUUUCUCUUCAAUCUCUUGUUCAUCAUCACUUCCAGCGAUACUCCACCUUACAGCCCCACAGAUUACAUCCUGAUCAACUGCGGAUCAUCCUCAAACGCAACCUCAGCCGAUGGCCGGAACUGGUACGGCGACGCCGGCUCAAAAUUCUCCCCUAACGACAUGGCGACUAUUUCUUCAGCUGUCACAGCCACCGAGCAAGACUCUUCGGUCUCCGGAGCCCCUUAUUUAACUGCCCGUAUCAUUCGUUCUAAUUUCUCCUAUACCUUCCCUGUCUCCCCCGGAAAAAAGUUCGUCCGCCUUUACUUCUACCCGGCCUCCUACUCCAGCGACUUCAACGCAACUGAAUCUUUCUUCGCUGUCUUGGCUAAUAACUACACCCUUCUGAGCAACUUUAGCGCAUUUUUAACAGUUUCUUUCGGUGGAUCCUCAUCUGCCUCCCUUGUUAAAGAAUUCAUCAUUAAUGUUCAGGCUAUGAACCAAUUCCUCAACGUUACCUUUUCGCCCUCUCCGAAGGCCUACGCGUUCAUUAAUGGAAUUGAAGUUGUUUCAACCCCGGACGGACUCUACAUGGGCAACCAUGAUAUGUCCAGUAAUCCCCUCAAAAACGUGAAUGAUCCCAACAUUCAGUUCGAGCUUGAUCAGAACGACACUGCCUUCGAAGCUCUUUACAGGCUUAACGUCGGAGGACAAGCUGUUACUGCGUUAGAUGAUAGUGGGAUGUUCCGAGGGUGGGAUAGCGAUGACAGCUUCACCUGGGGCGCAGAUGAAGGGAAUCCAUGGAGCAAUAAUAAAAUUGCUGUCAAGUACACUCCGCAAACCCCAAAUUACACUGCGCCAGCGAUAGUUUAUACUACCGCAAGGGCGAUGGGCAAGUUUAGCACCCGAUUCAACUUGAGCUGGACGUUCUCUGUUGAUUCUGGGUUUAAUUAUCUCCUGAGGUUGCAUUUUUGCGAGAUUGACCCUGAUUUGAUUACACAAGAGAACCAACGGGUGUUCAGGAUAUUCAUCAGUAACAAAACAGCUGAGGAAGAGGCUGAUAUUAUAAAUUGGACCGGCGGCCCCGGAAUCCCGGUUUUCAGAGACUACGUCGUGUUCGUUCCACACCCACCGGAUGGUCGCCCGAGCAAGCAAGGCUUGUUUCUUGCUCUGUACCCAAAUCUCGACGUCAAGCCGAAGUAUGCUGAUGCAAUCUUGAAUGGUUUAGAAUUGUUCAAAUUGAGCAACAGCGGCAGUCUUGCCGGGACCAAUCCUGAUCAGGCGGCGGAUCCCAAUUCCCCGAUGCCAAACAGCAAGUCACCGAAAAAGGGGAGAGGUGUAAAAUCUCCGGUACUUUUUCCUAUCGUGGGAGGGGUGGUCGGAGGGUCUGCCUUGGUUUUCAUCAUCGGUUUCUUGAUUUCCCGGCGGCUAAGGAGACGGGUAAAAGAUUUUGACCAGAAAAGUGCUUCAAAGUCAUCCGGGGUCCAACUUUCAACCAGGUCCAGGUCAUCAAAGACAACAAGUGCAUCGAGGUCUUCGUCACUGCCUCUAGAUCUUUGCCGAAGAUUUUCCCUGGAGGAGAUCAUCUUUGCUACGGCCAACUUCGAUGCUAAGUUUGUGAUCGGAACCGGAGGAUUCGGAAACGUGUACAAAGGGUACAUUGACAAUAGUCUAAUCACAGUUGCUAUUAAGCGAUUAAAUCCUUCGUCAAGUCAAGGGGUCCGCGAAUUUCGAACCGAGAUCGAGAUGCUGUCGAAUCUAAGGCAUCUUCAUCUGGUAUCCCUGAUAGGUUACUGUGACGAGAAGGGAGAGAUGAUCUUGGUUUAUGAUUACAUGGCCAAUGGCACCCUUCGCGACCACCUCUACAAAACAGAUAAUCCACCCCUCCCUUGGAAGCAACGGCUUCAGAUUUGCAUCGGCGCAGCCAGAGGGUUGCAUUAUCUCCACACCGGCGCCAAGCACAAUAUCAUCCACCGGGACGUCAAGUCAACCAACAUAUUACUGGACGAGAAAUGGGUGGCCAAGGUUUCUGAUUUCGGUCUGUCCAAGCUAGGCCCCAGCGGUGGAAUCCACAGCCAUGUCAGCACGCAGGUGAAGGGGAGUUUCGGCUACGUAGAUCCCGAGUAUUACAAGAGACAGCAGUUGACGGACAAGUCGGACGUGUACUCGUUCGGGGUGGUUUUGCUCGAAGUGCUGUGUGGGCGGGGAGCCAUUAUUCCCAACUUGCCCAAGGAGCAGGUGAAUUUGGCGGAGUGGGGCAAGAGGUAUUACGCUAAAGGGAUCAUCCAUCAAACUGUAGACCCUCACAUGAAGGGCGAGAUUGCUCCCGAGUGUUUGAGGAGUUUUGCUGAAACGGCGAUCAACUGUUUGAAAGAUCAGGGGAUUGAACGACCCGGAAUGAAUGAUGUAGUCUGGAGCCUCGAAUUCGCGUUGCAGCUUCAGGAGGCGGCUGAAAAUGAGAGAGGCUAAUUGAUUAGAAUAUAGGUGUAAAAAAGAAAAGUCAGAUACUUGCGGAUCUCACAGAGCCCAUGUAUAAAAUUAUGGGUACCGGGCUGUCUGAUAGAGCCCAUGUAUAAAACUAUGGGUACCGGACUGAGACAGCCCGACACCCGACAGAAACCCUUUUUUUUUUUAAACAUGUCAGUGUCAGCCCGGCACCUGACACAUUUUUUUUGAAAAAAGAUGUCAAGUGCCGGGCUACACCUGACAUCCAAUUGAGUGAAUUGCAAUUCAUCCAAUUGAGUCAAUUGCAAUUCACUUUAUUUGUUAAGCUAGUUGAUAAAUGCAAUUCACUUUAAUUAGUUUAGUGAAUUAAUUAGUUUAAUUAAUUGAGUGAAGUAAUUUUAAGAGAUUCGAUUAACUGUAUUUAAUUAAAGUGAUGGUUUUAUUUGUUACUAGGUAUUCUGCCCUGACGCUAUGCAUCAGGUAGGUUGGAUCCGGUAUUUUAUUAUAAUGAGUAUGAGUUUGAAAAAUUGGAGGGCGGAAAGAAUUAUUCAAUCGAACUUUAACGUCAAGUAUGUCUUGAAACUCACUGCAACAUCAAACAACAAAGAUCCAGUACAGAGGAGGGGAAAAAAGGAUAGCCCUCCAUCAUAAUAAAAGAACAAAGCCAUAAUUUUGUUCAAGGAAAGAGACCUUGGAUCUGCCCAGAAAGAAGUUUUAUCCAACUCAGGAACUAUAAGCGUCACAUUCAAAUGUCUGGCAAUUGCGACCAUGUCAUGUAUCUGUACCCCAAUAACAUAGAGGAAAAGUAUAGGUUAUCAAAAAUUGCUGUCAUAAGCCAGUUCAAACAUGCAAGCCACAUUAUUAAGAAUCUACUAAUCGCCGCCUGCAUUUGGUUAAGGCCUCCGUUGCAUGAAACCAUUAGAUAACCAUUGUUCUUGUAAACUCCUACAUCAAAAGGUGCAAAUUUCAAAUCUGAUUGUAGGUGGGGGAAAAUAGUAGUCAAAAUACCAAAUACAAUUCCAACAAGGGACAAAUUAAUGAUCCAUGCUUAUUCCAAAUAAAACAAACAACACAUUUAUGAUUAACCGCUGCAAAUAGAGAAUGCAGCAAAAUCCACUGAUGCAGUAAAACAACCUAAGAGGUUUGUUAUACCAAUUACUUCAUUUCAAAACAAAACAAAAGAUCAACAACCACCGCAAACUCUCAAUUCUACAAGUGCUUGGAGCAACCAAAUCUCUCAGGAACUUGCCGCAUGCUUCUCAACUUUUCAAUAAUCAACCAGCAGUCCAAGUCAGUCGUUUCAUCCAUCGGUGUGUGAAAUUAAACCCCACUUUCCUAAAUUCAAAGACCCUUAGAUUCUACAUUAUAAAGCACCCUGAACACCACAAAUACACCCACCUCAUAUCCACUAUCCUUUCCGCUUACAUUCACCAAAAUAUGAGCUUCUACUUCCCAUCUUUUAAAGCGAUCAACAUCAACCAUCAAAACAGCAAAUUCAUUACAGCGCCCAAAAAUAAAAAUCAAAGAGCAAAAACAGAAUCAAUCAAGUAGUAAUACUCAUUCUUGGGAGGAAGAACUCGAGCAGGGACAUCUUCAGGGGCAGAUUUAACAUCCAAAGCGGAAGCAGAACCAGUAACAGAAUCCUGAGAAAAGCAAGAUGGCCAUCCCUUCAAAAUUCUAGGACCAAAACUUUCACCCAAUGCCGUUAACUAAACCAAGCAAUUCCACAACAUCACAGAUGUAGUAGCCCUUAUCAUCCAUAGCUUCAUUUCGACCGUGAAACCAUGGAAUUUUUAAACUUCUCUACUCUACUAUGUUGAAUAAUAUUUCCACCUUUCAACCCCAUCACCCCACCUAAUCCUAACCCUAACCCUAGCCCCCUUAAACCCCAGUUCUUCCUCCUCCUCCAAACACUCUCCUCACUCUUCUCUUUCUCUAUUCUGCACAUAUCCCCCAUACAUCAAAAUUCCCCGCCUCCCCUUUUCUUCAAAAAAAUCAACAACUUCUCAUUAAAUUCUGCAGAAACUAUUACGUUUAAUCUAUGAAUGAAAAAAAAUCCCUGAUCUUAAUUUACAAUCUAAUAGAAAAUUCAAAAGGAAAACAAGGGAAGGAAAAAACACCGCCCGGAGAAAGCUAAGAAGAAGAAUGAGGAACGGGAAAGACACUGGUAAACAAGGCGAAGAAAAGAACGAGAAGAAACAAGACCGACAAAAGAAUAGGAAAAAGUAGUAGCUCUUCGCGGCCCAUUUUUUCGCGAUGGAAAAAUAAAUAAGAAGGUGUUUAUAAAAAAGAUGUGAUUUUAUUAAAAAAUAAAUGGAAAAGGACCAAGAAUGGGACUUAAAAAAAUGCGACAAUUUGGGUCCAAAAUUCAGUCUAAAAAGGGUUUUUAAGAAAAAAUAGGAGUCGCCACUUGGUAUUGAGUUUGGGUGUACCAAAUCACCAAAAAAGUGUUUUUUAAAUAGAAAUAAAAUAAAACCCUUUUUGACGACUCCAGGUCUUUGAAAACAGAGAAAAUAAGUUCGGGAGUCACGGUUGAAGAAAGAGAAGGCAAAGGUUCGAUUAACUCAAACCUAAGGCACCCUUUCAACCUAGUCUAAGCCAGUUGCGUGGUUUAGUCAAAAUUUUCUUAAUUUAACCCUUAAAUUUAUCACAUUUGGAUAUUUCCUAUAUGGAUGCAAAAAUAAAAUAUCGAAUAGGACAAAAUAUCCAUUCAAGGGUUUAAUUGAUAUCAAUCGCAUUGAUUGCGAAGGCCAAAAUAAUUCAUUGAAGGGGUCACGAAUAUGCAAAUGAUGAAAUUGAAAGAAAAUAAAAUAAAAAAAAAUUAAAUUAUAUACAUAGGUAUAAGUGAUCAAAGAAAAAGGAAAUGCAGCAUAAUGGGUACGGGAGACAAAAACUCGUGACAUAAUUUUCUUAUACAAGGAUUAAUGGGGUAUUUAAACUAAAGAGUUAUAAUCACCUAUAUCCAUGUUCAAAAAUAAUUCUCCUAAUAUGAACAAGCAAAUGAACUAACUUAUUUCAUAAUUUCUUAAAUGAAGUGCAAUUCUAAAUGAUUUGAUUAACACAUAUAGAGGGUAGGGGGUAGAGGAUAAUAUAAUAGAAAAUAUCAUGCAAAUGAGAAAAUUCUAAAAAAUAAAAUAUACAUGGAAAUGUAAUGGAUAUCAUACAAAAGAUGAAUCUAAUGCAUGAACAAUCUAAGGGUCUAGCGUUGGACUAACCCAUUUCUAAAGGUCCUUACUAGCAUUGGACUAGCAAGUAAAUGGAGGGAGAAACCACAACUAGCGUUGGACUAGUGUGGUGACGUCAUGCAUUAACAGUAGUGUGGUGACGUCAUGCAUUAACAGUACAUAGUAAACAAAUAAAGUAUAAAUUAGGAUAAAUAAACACAUAAGAGCACGUAGCACAUAACACAUAAGCAUAAUAUCUAAAUGCAAAUAUCCUAAGAAAAGCAGUAACACAGAGCAAGUAAGCAUGCAAAUCACAACAAGCAAAUAAGGCAAACAAGCCCUAAUUAUUACAUUAGGGGGAGGGCCUACUACAAUCUAAAAUGGGAAAUAAAAUAAAUAGUUAAAAUAAAUACCUAACUAUUACAAUUGUGGCAUUUAAUUGCCUUCCCAAAUAAUUUCGAAUCAAAUUAAAAUAAAUAUACAAAAUUAAAACAAGUAAAUAAAUAAAUAAAAACAUUCAAGAGGCAUGCAAUUAAGCACAUAAAGUCACAUAGGGCACAUAGGGUCAAAUAAAGUCAAAAAUAAGAGAAAGAGUGUACCUCCCCUGAAUUGGUACCCUAAUGAAGUAAAAUUACUUAUUUACCCUCCAAAAAAUAAAGAAAAGGUCAAGGCAUCACUUUAAGUAACCAAUAAUCACAUAAAAAGGGAAUGAAUAUGAAAUUGAAUUAAUCGAGGCACUUAAAUGAAGGUGAACAAACCAUGUCUAUGAAAUUAAAACAAGUAAGGAUUUAAUUGUAAAAAUUAAUAAAGUUUUGAGGCCAAAAUUAAAGAAAAAUAAAGUUAAGGGACCUAUUUGCAAUUAAAAUAGGGACAUAAUUGAAAGAAAUCAAAGGCCUUAGGGUCACAGUAUACUUAAUGAAAAGUACAGGGACCAUUCUACAAAUUCGUUGACCAGAUACUUGGCUAAACAGGCCGUUGGGCCAUUUUUCUUAUUUGUUUGGGCCGAAAGCUUCCUAGCCCAACUGAAAGCCCUAAGAAGACAAGCAGGCCAGCCUAUCUUUGGUCCAAGCGAAACCCAGCUAAAAAUAUAUAUGGGCUUUAUUCCCAAAGCCCAUGUCAACAACCCAGAAAAUAAGUCAUCAAUUCAUUUGUCAAACCCAACCAACAAUUCCAAAUCAAAUCACAUCUUAUUUAUGAAAACCCAACAAGAUAAAAACUCAACUAAAAAAUUACUAAACUCUGAUUAUGCAUUAAAUCCCAGAAUUAAUCUACUUAAAAACGCAUUUAAACAUGGGAAAUAGGAUCAGAACUCAAUUGCAAAAUGGUUCAAUUGCAAAAGUUUUUGGGCCAUAUUAGAAUUAAGUAAAAGUUGGGGGAUCAAAAGUGUAAUUUUUCCAGAUUUUCAUCCAAAAAUCCAAAGAAGAUUUCUGCAAUCGGAAGUUUUAUGCGACUCCUGAGUUCAUCAUCCCAGACACAUUUAUACAAAGAAAACUCAAACAAAAGCCAACCAUUUGUCAACUAAAUCAACACAAAAACUUCGACUCAUUUCCUCAACAAAAUUUUAUGAUAAAACAUUCCUUAUGACUUUUAAAAAUACCACUAUAAUUUUAAUUUCAUGAAAAAAAUAAAAAAAAUCAAAAGUCUAGAUUACAAAAUCGACAAAACUUAACUAAACAACCUCUCCAAAUAUUGAAUAGUCAGGAUUAUUCAUUUUUAACAACAAUAUAUGCACAAAAAUAAAAUUUUUAUUCGACUUUCCAUUUAAAUAUUUUUAAACAGUUUGCAUGCCUACACAAGAAUCAUUUCUUUUUCAUUGAUCUAACUUAACACAUUUCCAAAUUUUCACCAAUACAACCAUAAUAAAAACAGCAACAGUAAGAGAAAUUAAACAACCAAAAUAUGUCUAAUAAAAAAACUGAAAAAUACCUCAAUGAAAGGGGAGUUUCUUGGCUAAAGCUUUGAAUAAAUUCCUAAGCCUCAACCGUUUAUUUGUUUGUUGUUUUUACCUCCUUCAAGCUUUCUUUGAUCAAAGGACCAGUGUCUCUGCAAAAUUUGUUUUCUGUCCGUUGGCUCUGCCCAAGCCCCCAAGAGAAGAAGGAUUCCCGUCGUCCCUCAAAUGAGUUUCCCUUGAGUCCUUUUUAUGCAAUUUUCUUCUUAUUGGAUCCGUUGAGAGCCUUUCCUAGUCAAAAGGUGGUGAUGCCAUCAUGAGUCAUUAUGAUGGCUCAUUAUUAUUAUUAUUAUUUUUUUUUUUUUUUGGAAUCCAAGGAAAGAAAGACCAUAAUUUUUAAAUUUUUUUUUUAAAAAACAAACCUGCAAAAAUGAGAUAAUACACGUAAAAUGUAAGAAAAUAAAUAACACCUUAAAUGAAAAAUAAUUAAGAAAAUAUUAAAUUUUGCCAAAAAUUUGGUGUCUACAAGCUCCCAAAACCUCUGAAAGGGCGCGUACUGGAUUCAGCUCAACUCACCAGAACAGAACGAAGAACGCUAAGAACAGAACAGAACAGAACAGAACGAAGAAGAGAAUGAGAGGAAAUUGCUGACCGUCAAAAUGUUGCCAUCGAAGAGAGCCACGCGGACAGAAGUGAAUUUCCAGCAAAGCCAUUGCCAUCCAAUCCCAAAAUGCCCCUCAAAGUCACAACAAUCGCAGUAUAACCGGUCCAUUGUCCACUGUUCAUAGGCUAUUCAUGCUUUAUAUAUGUAUAUGUAGUAAGAUUUAUUAAAUAUUCAUUUAUUUGUUAUAAAUGAUUUAAUUAUUUAAUUAUAAUGCAUUAUUUGUUGUUAUUUGUUAUUAUUUGUUGUUAUUUAAUUACACUUUAUUUGUUGUUAUUUGUUAUACUAUUUGUUAUUAUUCGUUGUUAUUUAAUUACACUUUAGUUGUUGUUAUUUGUUAUUAUUUCUUAUAAUUAUAGAAUCGCAAUUAUUUAUUUAUUUGUUAUAAAUUAUAUAUAUUUGAUUCAAUUAAUUAAUUAUUCAAAUAAGCAUAUUAAUGAGGUUCUAAAAUGCUAUCAACACUCGUCUCUAAUAGGUAUAACAUGUCAAGUGAUAAUUGCUUGGUGAUUCAAGUAUAUUAGGGUGGAAAAAUUAUAAAUGAAGGAUGGUCAAUUUUAUAUGAUCCUUCUAUACCGAAACAAAUGUUGUUCCUUACAGAGAUGGUCGGUUAUGAUGACUUGGUAGACAAAAUAUACAAUCUUUUGGGUUUAGAUCGGAAUCUUCUGGGUAGACAAAAUAUACAAUCUUCAUUACAUGUUUGCUAAAUAUCAAAUAUUAUAAUAUGGGAAUUUAGUCUUUUAUUAUUUGAAUGCUUAUCGUUAUUUUUAUAUUUAGCCAUUUCACCGUUGUCACGCUAUGCAUUUUUUCCUCUUUUUUUGGUCCUUUAUUUUAUAUAUUGCACAAUAAAUUUAGUUUUAUAAAAUUAUAGUGAACAUUAAAAAUUACAUAAAAAUUCUAACAAAUUAUUUCUCAACAAUUUGAGAACUACAUCUUAUUACAAAAUGAAUGGUAUAUUUUGUUUGAAAAACAUUUUCGUUGUUUAACAUCCUAUAGGAGUAAUUAGUGAUUUUGCACAAAUCUAUUUUCUUUUUUUCUUAUGUUUCAACUUUGAAAUGUAAAUUAAUUAACUUAAAUUUCAAAGUAUUUAGUACUUCAGGUCGACUCAGCUUUUUAUUAAACUUUUUUUCUUGUUUUGGUUUUUUGAUUUAUUUUGUAUGGGAGAUUUAUGAAAUUAUCUUCACAAUACAAACUACGAAAAAAAUUCAGAACUUAAAUAGAUGUUCUAUUAGUAUGCAUUAUGUUCAAUUGGUAAAAUGCAAAAAUUCAAUAUAAGUACCAACACGAGAAUGAAUACGAAAUCUAAAAUGUUUAGGGUUUAGGGUUUAGGGUUCAAGGUUCAGGGUUUAGGGUUUAGGGUUUUGAUCUUUAGGGUUUAGGGUUUUCGGGUUUAGGCUUUAGGCUUUAGGGAUUAGGGAUUAGGGUUUUUAGGUUUAGGGUUUAGGGUUUAGCGUUUAGUGUUUAGGGUUUUGAUCUUUUGCAUGAUGCAACAUGUCACAAAUUACGAUUGAUAAUUACUAAUCAUAUCACAAUUUCAGCCUUACGAUAUUUUCUUGAGAAUAAAAUGAGAAGCUAUAAAUGAAAGAGAAAAAUUCAAAAUUAAAAGAAUAUGAAUACUAGAUAAUUGUAUUUCAAGUCAAGUGAUUUGAAUUCUAGUGGGAAGUUUUCACUAAGAAUUUUUUGUUACUCGGCACAUUUUGUUUGGUAGACUUAUUAAUUUUUUUUUUAUUUUUCAGAAAAAUUCGGUCAGGUACCGGGCUGACACAAUCCAACACCUGAUAGAUUUUUAAAAAAAAAUUUCCUGUCAGGUGAGAUUCUAUAAUUAUAAGAAAUAAUAACAAAUAAUAUAACAAAUAACAACAAAUAAAGGGUAAUUAAAUAACAACGAAUAAUAACAAAUAACAACAAAUAAAGUGUAAUUAAAUAACAACAAAUAAUGCAUUAUAAUUAAAUAAUUAAAUCAUUUAUAACAAAUAAAUGAAUAUUUAAUAAAUAACAAAUUAAACCUAAUUCAUCACCUUAAUUAAAUGCAUUUAAUCGAAUCUCUUAAAAUUAAUUCACUCAAUUAAUUAAACUAAUUAAUUCACUAAACUAAUUAAAGUGAAUUGCAUUUAUCAACUAGUUUAACAAAUAAAGUGAAUUGCAAUUCACUCAAUUGAAACAGAUGCCGGGCUGACACAGCCCGACACUUGACAUCUUUUUUUUUUUUUAAAUGUGUCAGGUGCUGGGCUGUCUGACAUGUUUUUUUAAAAAAAAAGUUUCUGUCAGGUGCCGGGCUGUCUCAGCCCGGUACCCAUAGUUUUAUACAUGCACUCUGUCAGAUCCGCAAGUGUCUGACUUUUCUUUUUUAUACAUAUAUUCUAAUCAAUUAGCCAAAAUGAGAGUGGUCGACGUCCAUUUGCUUUCCGUAUGCAUGGGUUGGGAGGAGAUGAGCAAGCUACGACUGAGGACGACGAGGAUGUGUUCUCAGACUCGGGAGUUGAGAAAGAUUCUGCCACCAGGAUGAAGAGCCGCCGUAGUAUUACGACCGGGACAUUCACGGCCAGUAGUGACAUGUUAAAGUCUGACAAUGUUUUCUCCGAGAUCAUGAAUCCCGCCGCAAGGUGAGGAUUUUAAUCAAUAGAUUAAACCUUCAAAAUUGUACGUGGGAUAUUCAUGUCUCAGGAGUCGAGCGUGCUAUGUCCUUGUGCUAUUUUUUUUUGGUUUUUUUUUGUCUGUAUUGGGCAACCUAUUUGUAAUGCCAAGAUAGUGUAUUUUUUGAAAUGUAAUAUUAAUUAAGGGAAGUACAUAAAUAUUCGGAGUGUUUUUGAAAAUGUAAAAUCGAUUUAAAAAAGUAAAUAAAUACGAUAGAAGAUCAGUAAAAUUGAUGGGAAAAGUAUUAAAUGCAAGGGAAGGUUAGUGUUUUUGAUAAUUCAUGCCUUAGGAGUCUAGCGUGCUAUGUCCUUGUGCAUUUUUUUUUUGUAUUGUGCAACCAUUAAGAUAUAUUUGUGGUGUUAAAAUAUAUUUUGAAAAUGUAAAAUUAAUUAAGGAAAGUAUGUAAAUAUGAGGGAGUAUUGUUGGGGAUGUAUGAUUAAUUAAGAAGAGUAAAUAAAUACAAGAAAUGAUUGGUAAGAUUAGAUGAGAAAAAUAUUAAAUGCAAUGGAAAGUAAUAACUGUUAGUAUGUGUAUAUAUGAUAGGUUAGGUGAAUUUUAAAUGUCUUAAUAAAAUAAAAGUACCUAACGGAUAUGGGUACUUAUUAAAAAAAAUGUUAUGAAAUAACAAAAAAAAUGUGGAUGUCCUUUUGUAUUCCCAAGGGGAUUAAUUCAUGAUUUUAUGGCAACAUUAUGUAUAGAAAUUACAAUCCAUAAAUCUAUUUAUGUAGUGAAAAAACUGUUUCAUAAGUUUCUUCAUAUUAUUGUAGUAGUGGAUGUUUAAUAGGACUAAUGCACCUUUGAUCUUGUAGUACCUAUAUAGAGGUACAUUGACACCCUUUGGGAGCACUUUUGUAUUUUGUUGGAAUACAAGAAUACCACUCUCCAUUUCUCUACUUCUUUCUCCAAUAUUUCACUUGAUAUUAUAGUAGUUUAUUUUAUUAGUUUUAUAACACGUUAUCAGCACGAGUAUCUACUUUGGAGCAAAAGGUGAAAACGGAGGCGCUACUUUGAACAAAAGUGAAACACAAGAUUUUGCCGAAAUUCUGCUUGUAUUUCUUCAAGUGACUUUUGAGGUAAAUUUCUAACUCAAAAACUUAUUUUAAUUUCUUAUGGCUAAUUUUACAAAACAAGAGUUCGUACCUCUUGAUAUUUCUGGAAAAAAUUAUUUAUUAUGGGUAUUAGAUGUUGAAAUUCAUCUUGAUGUAAUGGGUCUUGGUAACAUUAUUGUUGAAAAACAUGAAUUCUCAAACCAAAACCGUGCCAAAGCUAUGAUUUUCCUUCGUCAUCAUUUAGAUGAAGGAUUAAAAAUAGAGUAUCUUACUGUCAAAGAUUCUCUUGUCCUUUGGCAAGAUUUGAAAGAAAGAUUCGACCACCUGAAGUUGGUCGUUCUUCCAAAAGCCCGAUUUGAUUGACUUCACUUACAGCUGCAAGAUUUUAAAUCUGUCAAUGAAUAUAAUUCAGUCAUGUUCAGAAUCACUUCUCAAUUAUCAUUAUGUGGCAAAAAAGUUACUGAUGAAGAUAUGUUAGAGAAAACAUUUUUUACUUUUCAUGUCCUAACAUGCUCCUGCAACAGCAAUAUCGAGAGAAGGGAUUUAAAAAAUAUUCUGAACUUAUCGUAUGUCUUCUCUUGGCUGAACAAAACAAUGAAUUAUUGCUGAAAAAUCAUAAGUCCCGACCAACUGGUACAAGUCCAUUCCCUGAAGCGAAUGCGACUCAAUUUCAAAAUUCUGGUCGAGGUCGUGGACGUGGCCGUGGAAGAGGCUGUGGAAGAGGCCGUGAUCGUAUUAAAUUUGUGCCUCGUGAAAAUUUUAACCGUGGCAAACAACAAAAUGUUUCCCAAAAAAGGAAAAAUAACUACGAUCAGAAAAAUGGAGGAAAGAAAGUUUAUAAAGAAAAAUGCUAUUGGUGUGGUAUGGAAGGUCAUUGGUCUCGUACCUGUCGUACGGCCGAACAUCUUGUCGAUCUCUAUCAAGCAUCAUUGAACAAGAAAGAGAAAGGCAUUGAGACAAAUUUCAUUAAUCAAAAGAAUAAGAGUAAAUAACAAAAAAGCCCCCUGUGAUUAAGCAAUCAUACAUAAAAGCCCCAUGUAGUUUCAUAUCAUACCAGUCGAUACCCCGUGGUCUGAAUUAACCUGAAAAGUGGACGGAAAUCGUCAAAUAUUCGGCGUGUGUCUUAAACGAACUGCAAAGGCGCGUGCAUAUGCGAAAAAUAGAUUUCCACCACCAACUUUCAUCUGAUAUGCCUACUUUACCCUUCACUCUUUAAUAAUAAGAGGCCAGCUUCCAAGUCUUCCGAGUCUUCAUGUUCGGCCAAAAUUGAAAAUUGAAGGCAGCAUUCGAAAUCUGUCCAGGCAGUUCAAUCAAGCAGAGCUUGCAGGCUAGCAAAGGAAUUGCAGGAAACAAAGCCUUAAGGUAAAAAUGUGAACUGUAUUUGUAUAUAUUGGGUCUGCUAAUUCUGAAGGAAAAGUGGAGAAAGUACCCCAAGAUGUCUUCCUCAAGCUCUCGACCAACAAGUGGGGGAAAUGGAGGCAGAGGUCUUCGAUACUAGUACAAGGUAUGUAAUUGUCGAAGGAAGGCAAAGCUAAAGAUUGUUGAGUCGGAAAAGCCAUCGAAAGGAUUGUUAUAUUUUGUGUGUGAAAAAGAUGAAUGUUGGUUCUUUUCAUGGUGUAACCCAAUUUACAGAGACGAGCCAAAUCGAGAUGCACCUGUUCCCGUAGUGAGCCAACCUGUUGAAGAAAAUGCGUAUUUGGGUGGCGUGCUCUCGAAACUGGAAAAUUUGGACAAUGAAAUGAAGAAUUUGAAAUUGCUAGUUGGAGGUUGUGUUAUGGUAUCUAUCUUUUCUAUUUUACUGUUGUUGAUGUCUACCAGAUAAGAUAAUGGUAGGUUGUUGUUGAUGAUGUAGAUCUUCAUCUAUCAAAUUGCUAGUUGGUAGGCUGCUGGUGAUGUAUGGAGUUUUGUUGCAAUAAAAUUGAACAAAAUUGGUAAUCGACAUUUUGUAGUUUUGUUUUGGUAAUCUGCAUUUUGAAAACACCAAAAAAUGAACGAAAUAAACUAGUUGGAGUUUUGUUUGCACAUUAGUAGUCUUAACUCAACUAGCUGCAUUUCAGCAGGUAGUCUUAGCUCAACUAGUUAUGGAGUUUUGUUUGGUGUCUAUCCCAACCGAAUAAUGGUCAGAUUUGUUCUGGUGUUUCCACUACGGGUAAGAAAUAUACCUGCUAAAAAUUGGACAACAACCGAUACAGAAAACAAACAAAAGAAGAUUGGACAGCAAGUGAUAUAGAAGACAAACAAAAGAAGACAAAAUUGAAUCUAGUUGCCAGUUGCCAGUUGCCAUUCUACAUAACAUUCAUCUCAACUUGCCAAGAACAUAGAUUCAGAACUAUUUCCAGAACAAAGAGUGUAACUACAAAAUCUGUUUCCAGAUUAUUCAGUAACUACAAAAUUUGGUUGCCAUUUCAGGGAACCAAAAUCUGGUACCCAAGAACUUCAUUCAGUCACCACAAAAAUAGUAAAUACAUAAGCUAAGUGUAUGCAGAACAUAGAUUCCAUCACUGUUUCCAGAAUCAUUCAGUGACUACAAAAUCAGCUUGCUAUUUCACACAACCAAAAUCUGGUACUCAAGAACUUCAUGCAGUCACCACAAAGAGUGUAACUACAAAAUCUGUUUCCAGAUUAUUCAGUAACUACAAAAUUUGGUUGCCAUUUCAGGGAACCAAAAUCUGGCACUGUUGAACUUCAUUCAGUCACCACAAAAAUAGUAAAUACAUAAGCCAAAUGUAUGCAGAACAUAGAUUCCAUCACUGUUUCCAGAAUCAUUCAGUAACUACAAAAUCUGGUUGCCAUUUCACACAACCAAAAUCUGGUACCCAAGAACUUCAUCCAGUCACCACAAAAAUAGUAAAUACAUAAGCUAACUGUAUGCAUAUCAGUAGACAUUACAUUUUCAUCGACAACCAAUCAUUGUACAUUCCAGAUAGUUGCAGAUAUCAUUGCAACUGCAUGUAAUAUUCCAAAAUGAAGGUCUAACUACAGCUAGACAACUAUUAGGCAGGUAAUUAAGGCUGGAUAGCUUUUGAUCUCUUUGGCCUUAACUUGCGCAAGACAUCAGUAAUAGUUGGAGCUGUGGUUGUGGUUGCUGUUGCAGUGGUGGCAUCAGCACUGUUACUCCCACUCAUAUUCGUACCAUGCACAGGCUGCAAUUACAUAUAUAAAGAGAACUUGGAUGUAUAUCAGAACUCCAUUUGUUUUUAUGAAACUCAUUAAAUCAAUGUAAAAGCUUGGUUGAGUGUACACCUUCCUAGCCUGUUUGCUAGUCAUUGUGGUACUUUGUGCAGUAGGAGCUCCUUUACUAGUUGACUGUGGUUGAGUGGACGACUCAGCAAUUGGUUCAGCUGCGCUUGCUUCAGGUGCCUAUAAGAAUGAUAUUUAACAUUAUUAAUACAUACAGAUGCUAUACAAAUGACAUUUAAGUGUACAAGGAAAAUUACCUUAUAAAAUUUAGAGUUAGGGUGAAUGGGAUUCUUGCACGUCCGUGAGUUAUGCCUUGGCUGAAAACAUCUCUUGCAAUGUACCACAAGCCCCUUUCUAGUUGAUACUUGACCCUUCUUAGGCUCAUAUUGUGCUCUCCGGCGUAGUUUCUUUGGUCUACCAGGCAUUCUCCUAACCGCAGGGGGGUUUAUGGACUCUUCUUCAGCUGUUAUCCAGUAAAUAUCACUUGGAACAGGUGUGAUAGUAUAUGCAUAUGUUUUCAGAUAUUCUGCUCUAGUGUAGCAAGCAUGCACAUAAUUUUUAAUAGGUAAUCUACACACUCCUCCGCACAUGCAUGGGCACAAGGAUAACCUGUUAAUUGAAAAUAUCCACAGGUACAUGUCCACUCACGCAAGUCUACUACCACACAUUUUCUCACACCACAGUCGACCUCAUACUUGUGACCACCGUCCCAGGUCGCAACAAAUGUCCUACUCAACUUCUGAUUCUUGUCGAUCUUUUCUGCUAUAUUAGGACAGAUCUCUCCUUGAAACUUUUGCAUUCCAGAUCUCUUUGUUUGAAUUCUCUGCAUCAAUCUCCUCCUUAUCCAUUCAAGCAUCCCAAUGAUAGGUAACUCUCUUGCUUCUAAUAUAUAGUUGUUGAAUGACUCAUUUAGGUUGUUUACCAGAAUGUCACAUUUACUAUAACCUGUAAAAUGUGAUCUACUCCAAAGGGCUGGUGGAAUUCUGCUCAACCAUUCAGCAGCUUCUUUGUUUGUCUUUUCUAGUUCAAUCAUUGCCAUUUUCCAUUCCCUUUCAUUGCCAGCGCUUGCAGCAGCCCAAAACAUGUCUUUCAUUUCCUUUCCUUUGAACUUUUGGUUAAAAUUCUGGUACAUGUGCCUCAAGCAAAAUCUAUGCUCUGAAUUUGGAAACAGUUCAUUCACAGCAUGCACAAGCCCUUUCUGUCUAUCUGAGAUAAAGGUCCAAGGAAUGUUAUCUCUUCCCAUGCCCAAAUCAGCCAUUAGCAACUCCAAAAACCAUUUCCAGGAGUCAUACCGCUCUACCUCUACCACUGCAAAUGCUAUUGGCACCAUGUUGUCGUUGCCAUCUCUGCCAAGUACUGAUAAUAAUUGUCCACCAAAUGCUGUCUUAAGGAAACAGCCAUCUAGACCAAUUAUUGGUCUACAACCAUCAAGAAAACCCUUCUUACAGGCAUAUAAGUAAUAAUAUAACCUUUGAAAUGUACCCCUUGAACCAUCAGGAGGCUUGUCAAUCUGCAUUUUUACAGUACUUCCAGCAUUUGUGUCUCGGACUGUGGCUGCAUAAUUCCAGAGUUUUUGAUACUGCUCCAUGUCCGUGCCUAGCAUCAUAUCCUUUGCCUUACGUUUAGCUCUACCAACCUUAGCAAUUAACACAUUAAUCAUUAAAUCUCUUCUGAUGUCAUUCUUCAACCCCAUCAAAUCAACUUUUGGAUUAUCCCUGAUCUUCUCUUGAUAUUUGUUGCUCAGAUAUGAGGCUAUUGCAUGCUUAUUUUGAUAUUCUCGAGCACACACAUGCUCACCCUUCAGUGACUUUAUUUGGAAGGUCGAUUCAUUUUGAAUUGGUGUUGCUCGAAUCCUUCAACUACAACCUUUUGCACAGAUGGCAAUAAUUUUUUUGGAGUAGUUUUUCACCCAAGUAACUUCAUAACCCUCUCUUACUAGCCAUUCACACAACACAGAUCUAAACACUCUAAAAUUAGUAAACUUCUGCCCCACUUUCAACUCAAAGUGUGGCUUCCCAAACUCAACUUCAGGAUUGAAGUCAAGGCAGUAAUCUUCUUCUCCACUAUCAGAUCUAAAUCUGUCCAGCAAAUCUUCAUCUGGAACCACAGGUUCUUGCCAAUCCUCUUCAGUCACCUCAGUAUUCCCUACCCUUUCAUCUUCUUCUCUCAAAUCUGAUUCUCUAAAUGUUGCAGAAGAUUUUUUGAUGUUUGCAGCUUCAUCUUCUAAUGGCCCUUGAGAUGAUACAAGUCCUUUUUCAAUGCUUACAUCUUCAGCAUCUGAUGGCCUUUGAGAUGAAACAGGGGGUCAAUUUGCCGAAUCACAUCUGGCCCUCUAGAUUGUGAAGUUUUGCUGGCCCUUUUCUUUCUCACAGAACCCCUUUUAGGAGAACUUUUUUCAUCUGUCUUUCCACCAAAUGAGAAUAUAUGCACUGGCAAUUUUUUUAUGUCUCCAUCUGCCCUUGCCCCACCUUUUUUGUUAUAGUUGCUGGGUCCAGCAGUAUCUUUCUUGGGGCUAAAGAUGUCUUCAUCUUCUAUUGUUUCCAACCCAUCUUUUAACCAUUCUGGCUCUUCAUCAUCUUCACAUGCACCUGUCCCCGUAGUGUUAGUGACCCCACUAUUUUCAUGUCCAUAGGUUGUAUCAGGGCCUUCAUUUUUUAUUCCAUUACUGACCCCACCAUCUUCUGGCUCCUUUUCAAAUGGCUCAUCCCCACUACAAGCAUAAAUUAGCCUUUCCAUUGGCAAGUUCCAGUAGCACUGCUUCAUUAAAUUAAUAUCAUUAUUGUCCCUAAUUGGGUGUAGAGCACCUUCUAAAUCAACAUCUGGGACACAAAACCAAAACGUUACUUUAUUUGCUCUUUCAUCUACUUUUUUAAACAUUCUGCACAGGCUCACUAUCGACAACUGAUCUUCAAUUCUGUCUUUGAAAAUAGCCAUGUGGGUUCCUGUGUAGUGGAGCCUUGGUUUUUCUCUAAAUCUCCCACCAAAAUGCAUGUGUAUCUCAACUUUGUCCUUGGAUUUCUCCUCUGUGAUACCAUGACAAGCAAUAAAGUUCUCAGAGUCUUUCACAAGUAUACAAAAAACUAACAUAAUACAAUCAGAACAAACAAUUGGGGACCACAUUGGACCACAACAUGUCUCGAUAUAAGCCAUAUUAAGAUAAUGACAGAUUACAGAAACUGGCAUGCUUGACUAAUCAUGGCAUUUAACAGUAGUAAUUGAUCAAUAGAAGUAAUACUGCACUUUGAUAGUAUAACUUCAAGCCAAAAAGACGGACUGUCAGACUCAACAAUUGAGUCUGACCAAAAACAAGGGAUAACCAGAUUAGGACCUGAAACACGUAGCCUUAUCAUCCCAAACAACUGAGGCAUUGGAACCAAAGCUGCUAAACGCGUUUUUGGAGGGACCUCUUCUAUAAAGCUGUCUCUUUUUAAGCUUUCAAAAAUUAUCAAAACUUUACCAAUUUGAAAGGAACGCUUAAACUAUCUAUCUAUGCAACUAGGUUUGCUGGGCAUACGUCAAAAACCUUUAUCUUCAUUAACAACAUUCGUAAAUACAUCAAAAAAGCUAUCUUUGUUAAAUAAUGCCUCCCAAUUUAAUCUGAAAUCAGUAAAUAACAAUUUUUCUUGUACAACAUACCCCAAAACCCGAAUCGAAAUAGAUGAGAGAUGAUAUACUAACCCAUUUUUCUUCGAUUUUUUACCGCAAAUCUUCACUUCCUCGUAUUCUCCAUCGAUCUUGAUAUUUGAUUGAAAUAACAAUCGAAAUUUUUGCUGAAAAUUGGCUACAAAAGGGGCUGCUCUAUCUCUCUCUAGGGUUUCCUAUUUCUUUCUCUCUCUCUUCGUUGGUUUCGAUAGAACGAAAGUGCAAAAUUACUUCUGCAAUUUUCGCUUAUAUCAAAAGGGUAUUUUCGUCUAUUCACUCAGUUUCGUCUGUUUUGCCGAUUUCCGUCCACUUUUCAAGUUAAUUCAAAUCACGGGGUAUCGACUGGUAUGAUAUGAAAUCACAGGGGGCUUUUAUGUAUGAUUGCUUAACCACAAGGGGCUUUUUUGUUGUUUACCCAAAGAAUAAUUAUAAUGAUGCUGAUGAUGCUGAUAUGACACACCUCGAUGUAGCUGAUUUUUUUGAGCAUCCUGAAAAUGUCAACAAAUAUCUCAUGAUUAUUUAGAUAUUUUUAUGAUGUUUUAUAUCUUUUAUGUAAUUUUUUUUCAUUGAAUAUUUAUUUUUGUUUGAAAUUUUCUUCCUGAAUAAGAAAUUGAUGUCAAAUAUUUGGGAUUAAAUAAUGGUGAUGAUGAUAUUUGUCUCAUUGAUAGUGCUACUACGCACACCAUAUUGAAAAAUAAAAAAUAUUUUUCUUGUUUGAAAAUGGGAGAAACAAAUGUUAAUACCAUUAGUGGUAGUGCAAAAUUGAUUGAAGACUCCGGAAGAGCCACUUUAUUUUUCUCUUAAGGGACUAAAAUUAUUGUAAAUAAUGCACUAUUCUCUCCCAAGUCUCGGAAAAACUUAUUAAGCUUUAAAGAUAUUUGCGAAAAUGGAUAUCAUAUCGAGACAAUGAUUGAGACAAAUGGUGAAUUUUUAUUAAUCACAAAUAUCAUUUCUGGAAAAAAAUACGUAGUAGAAAAAUUAUCUUCUUUUUCUUCUGGCUUAUAUUAUGCACAAAUUAAUGCAAUUGAAAUUCAUCACCUAGUAGACCAGAAGUCUACUCAUCCUAAUGAUUUUAUAAUUUGGCAUGAUCGUCUCGGACAUCCUGGAUCUAUAAUGAUGAGACGAAUAAUCGAGAAUUCACAUGGCCACUCAUUGAAAAAUCAAAAGAUAUUAAAAGCAAAUGAAUUCUCCUGUGUUGCUUGCUCUCAAGGAAAAUUAAUUAUUAGACCAUCACAAGUUAAAGUUGAGAUUGAAUCCCCUACAUUUCUAGAACGAAUUCAUGGUGAUAUAUGUAGACCUGUAGAUCCACCAUGUGGACUAUUUCGAUAUUUUAUUGUGCUAAUUGAUGUAUCAACUAGAUGGUCACAUGUAUAUUUAUUAUCUACUCGCAAUCUGGCGUUUGCGAGAUUGCUUGUUGACAGGGUGUCGAAACCUGUACAAUAAUAAAAUUAAACCUAAUUGCCAGUUAAAAUGACCAAACUCAAUUCCAAGUACUAGAGCAGGGACUUUAGGUGUGCAAUGGAUUACUUGAUUCACCCUGUUCCCGAAGAGUUUGCUUGGUCCGAUAUACCCGAAUGGAAUGGUUAUUUCUUUUCACAAAUAAUUAUGAAUUCGUAGACAUGGCAAGUAGGGUCGUAUCCACUGGGAUUGGGUAUACUUGUUUCUUAAGAAAUUCAAAACAACACAGGGGGUGAUUUUGUAGGAAUGAUAACAAUCAAAUAAAUUCAAAUAAGAAAAUAAAAAUGAAAAUAAAUAACUGACUAGAAAUUAAACAAUAAUUCACUGAACUCAGAGUAACAAUAAUUAAAGGCCCAAAUCAAUUAAAACAAGGAAGCACUUAAAAAUAAAAUAAAGUAGGCAACUAAAAGUCAAAUGGCAAUUCACCAAAAUUAAGAUAAUAUUAAUUAAAAGUCUAGCCAAGAAAUGACUUCAGCAAUGGUUCACCUAAUUGAUCAUCGAAGCAAAGGCAAUCCCAAUUGUUUAUCAAUAAAUAGGUUAUAACUACCAAACAAGCGAUAGCAGUCAACUCCUCCUUACUGUGUCGAUGAUUAAGGUACGCCCGUUAAUCACUGCUCUAAUUAAGGAAUAAUUCUAGGUACGUCCGUAAGAUUUAAUUCCCCAAUUGCCUUACAUAUUAGAGGAGCCCUAUUCUAACCAAAUAACGGACUACCAGGGUUAUUUUAGAUUAGCCGUCGUAUCCCCCUGACACGAAUCUAAUCGUGCCAGUUGUCACUAUUUCAGGACAAUUACGGAUUUAAUGCUUUAAUUGACAGUAGGUUACCAAAUCAAUUAAUUAUCCGGAUCCAAAAUAAUCAAUUAAUUAAAUAAUCAUAAGCAUAGCAAACAAGGAAUAAGUGGAUAUCAAUAAAUAAAAGGGAAAGAUUAAAUUAAAACGAUCUUACAAUUUUUAGGCUACCCAAAACAUCCGUCGUCUCUUGACUAGAAUGAGAAAAUUAGUUCAUAUUUGAUGAACUAAGUCCGCGGGAAAUUUCAGCAAAAGUCACGGCCAUUGUCUGCAUUUCAGGAAGCCACAAUUCGUCAAACAAUUGAAAGGCGAAUGAAAGUUACAGGUAACAAUUGAGUCUCUUAAUUGUUUCUAGCAUCCGUAGAGCAAAGCUACUCAAAAGGUACAAGGAGAAAAAGUCAAAGUAGAUAGCCUCCAAUUCUCCUGACAUGCGUGAGAACAAACAAAAAGGAAUUCUAAAGGAAGAAGCUAAUGAAAUGCUAAGCUAGUCCUCAUUGUCUUUCUCCCAGCCGUGGAGAAUGCCUACAAAAGGCUCAGAGGAAAAAGUCAAAAAGUGCGGCUCUCCAGCCCCUGCUCUCUUCCUUCUCUUUUUUUUCUCCUAAUUCCCCGCAGCACCUCAGCAAAAUGAAGCCCUUCCGGCCGUCAUUCCCUUGCGGAAUUUACCAAAAUAGACGUAACAUCUUCUUUUCCAAAAAUAUCCCUGGGUCAAUCUCUAUCAUCGGGACUCUUUUUCUGCCAAAUGUGUACCUGUCAUCAUAUUUUCGUUCUACUCCCUGAAAUAAGUGCAAAUUACGAAAAGUAAAUAGAAUCUACUAAUUAAUCCACAUCAGGUCAGGUAAUAGGGAAAAUUAAUAAUAAAAUAAAUAGAUAAAUUGCAACCUAUCAAUUCCCCCCACACCUAAACCAUGCUUGCCCUCAAGCAUAAGAAAAGUGUACAGACACCAAAAUUUGAUAAUGGUCAUCACUCUAUUCUACCAACUUGCCAAGAUAUCAAGAAAAACCAUAUAUCGAGUACUAGUGAUCAAAAUCUGAGGAGCAUCCCCCCAGUUAGCCUCUAAACUGCAAAUUUCUUCAAUUUCCAAAUUAGCUAAUCUAAGAAGAAAGAAUGACGUAUAACACUUAUCAGCAAACAAUUCAAAUAUUAACCAAAGCCUCCAUAUUCAGUCCAUAAAUGGGCAAGCUGACCUCUAACAUAUUACACAACCUGCACUUUUCUGUUUUUUUUUUCACUUUUUUCAUUUCCAAUAAUAAUAACAAUACACAAAAGACUUAGUCUCUAGCCAUUGGAGCCUUUUGACGCGAACUCCAAUAUUUUUAAAUGAAGGAGCCCGGUUACUCAGCUCUCACCGCUAUACGACCACGUACUCAUAAAAAGUACCACCUUUUGACGCGAGAAUCAACACUUUUAGGUGCAGAUUCCCGAUUACUCAGUAGCAACUAUUAGCGGAGUACAGUCAAACUUAUUCACAGCCAAAUAAUGCAAAAACGCAAGAUAACAACACUAAUAACCACGCAUAGGAGCAGCUCACCUCAUUAUUGCCAAACAUGGAGAACUGGAGUCAAUAUUGGACCAGUUCACAUUAAAAUGCCAACAGCCAUUCCCUAUGCCUAGAAAAGUUAACAAAGAAAUCAAAAGAGUCAAACAGUCCGAUAUUCACCAAGGAGAUAUCUUGGACCCAACCACAUUAAUCCGAUACAUUUUUAUUUUAAAAACUUGGCAAAAAUAGAAUUAGAGGCAAUGAACCAACAUCCAUUUUUUUUAAAAAAAAAUUUUUCACAUGAGGGAUAAGCACCAAGAAAAGAAAGUAAGCAAAUGAGCAACUAGAAAUAAAACUAAAAACUACUAAUAACUAGAAAAUACUAGCACCCCAUUAGACCUCUCCCACACCUAUAGGACACAUUGUCCUCAAUGGGUCAAAUAAACAGCACAAGUAAGAGAGAAAGCAACCAAACUUCCCUGAAACCGGGUCAAAGAGGUGGGCGAGGUGGAAAUGGAGCAGCGAAACCCGUGUGAAAUAAAAACUGCACCAAAUUCUAUGCCAUGCCUGCGACAUUGGCGUCAACGUUGACCAUUCGAGCCUCCAAAGCCCGAACCUGCUCCCGGAGUUGCUGCUAUUCAGUCGUCCCAUGUGGUGGAGAUGACGCAGAAGAUGAAGGCCCAGCUGUGUCCUCGACUGACUCAUGAAAUGAAGAGGACCCUGCUCGGGUCGAAGGGUGCACCCCUGGAGCUCGAACUGGUCCCGGAGAGGUAAACUGGUAAGAACCAUCGGGUAGGCGCUCGACGACUUCCAUUUUCUCUAAGUAGUCCACGCCCAGGAGCUCCAUCUCGAAUGCCAAAUGUAGGUCGUGGUUCUCCAGGUUAAGAACUCCCAACUGUGUUGCCAAGUGUGUGAUAUAGGACCCAAGGAUCAGGGGUUUGUUCUUUUUGGCUAAGACGGUCUUGAACUGUGCCGCAAACCAACAACCCAAGUUGACUUUGUUGUUAUUCUUCAUAUUCCAGAUAAAGAAAAACUCGGGUCGAGAGAGAAUACCGGAGCUGUCCUUGCGACCGGAGUAGCUGUAGUCUAAGAAUCGCUGAACGUAUCGGGCGCUAGGGUCCUUAAGAAAGGAGCUCCUAGACCUAGAAGGGUCGUAGCGGUGCCGAUCGGUAGACAUGUCUUCCCACAUAGUGCGGUAGCGGGAGAGAAAAGGCUCUAUGUAAUCACAGGCACUUUCACCAUACUCUCUAGUCUCAGCAUACUCCCGAGUAAUAAAUCCAAAUGCCAUAUUAAAUUGGGUAAUCGAAAAAUUAAAUUUCCGACCCAUCAGACGGAAGCGGAUGACAUUGGGUGUCACAAGGGUGUACCUCGUGGGCAACUCAAACUCAAAGGUAGAAUAAAACUCCCGAGUGAGCUCGACAAAGGCGGGGCAGAAGAUAUAGAGAUACGGGCGCCACCCGAUGGCUGUAAACAUCUGCUCGACUUCCUCUCGUAUGCCUAGACCCAUCAUAACUAGUUUACUACAAGAUUUACAAGGUAUGAUACGCCGCUCACAGACCUUAGCAUAUCUCUGCUGAUCGGCGGGUCUAGUGAAGGUUAGGUGCCCUCCAAAGUGAGUUGGGGUAUCUACCUGGGCACCCCUGCCCCUACUCAAGCGGGUUCGGACAUUAGAAGAGAAGGGUAGAUUGGUAGGUGUAUUCACAGGAAUAGAUGCAUGUGGAGGGGUUGAGAACGAGGGGCCCUAGACCUAGAGGAUGAUUUAGGUCUCACCAUGUCUCCCAACAGUCAGCUCAAAGUAACAGAAGAUCCAACAGGUAUAGAAACUAGCAAAAGCAACUAGCAAAAGAAGCUCAACAAAAACAAAGCAAAAAUCUCCCAGUAGUAACCCAAUCAAUAACAAACAAAAGAGUUCCAGCAAGUAAAAAUGCCCAAUGUCCCAUAGAAGACGAACAAACUGUUAUGAGUUCAAUGACUAUAGCAAUGAAAGUAACCCCAGCAAGUAUGCCAGUCCACAGAAGUCAAUAUGUAGCCCGAUAUAGUAAGGCCUUCCCAAUCAGCAAUUCAACAAGUAAUUAAACCGAAUAUUACCAAUCUCAACAAGUACUUCACGCGGCCAGUCUCUCUAAUUCAACAAGCAAUUUCAGAAAUAACUCAACCAAAAUCCCAAAAGAAGCCUCAGCGAGUCUUCCAGCAAUUCAAGCAGAAUAGUGCCCAACAAUUCACUACGAGUCAACCAAUUUUCACAAGCAAAAUGAGGUUCAAAAUUUCCUCCAAAGUUAGCAAACAACCACUGCAAUUCAGCUCACCCAAAGUCCCAACAAAUGGCUCCAGUUGGCCAAUUAAUGCCUUAACUCAGAAUUAGCAAUUUCAACAAUGAUAGCUUAGAUAUUUGACAAUAAUAACUUAGCCAACCAAAAUCGUAGCAAAAAUUCCACAAAAUCAACAAUUCAGGCAAUAACAAUUCAGACUCGGACAGUGACAAAGGAAUUCCAAACCUUCAGCUUCCUAUUAACCAGCCAAUAAGAGAGGAAGGAUCAAAUGUAGUCCAAAUACCCAAACAAGGCAAUGACUGGACUCAACAGGCAGCGCACAACCAAUACAGCUCAACAGACCUAAGCCAAUAGAACUCAAACCCACCCAAAAGUGCGACUAAAAUAUGCAAGAAAAUGGCCAACCAGUAAUCAACAAAGUCAGGGCAAAUAACACAAUCAGUACCACUGGUUGACCACACAAUUGAAGAAAUAACUCCCACGGCCACCAAUACCAAUUGUGGAGGGGCUCAAACAGCACCAAACAAUAUUAGAAAUCGGGGGAUAAAUUCCAAAUACCUCCACCAGGACCACGUCGGGCGGCGGACAGAGCAGCGAGCAGAGGUCAGCUUGCUUCUGUGGCUUCGGGAGGCAGCGGCGGCGUGGGGCUGGUCGGCUUGCUGGAGGCACGAGGAGAGAGAAACGAUGGACAGCAGCCCGCAACCCCCAGUUGGAGAGUGGCGGCGACGGUCGUCCGACUGCAAGCGACGUGUGCCCGGUCACUCGCGGCUGGGGAAACGAGGCGCGCUGUUGCAGCUCGCGGCGAAGAUGGUGGCGGCGCGAGGUAGAAGAGCGGCGUGCGCAGGUGGGGGGAAGGAAAGAAAAGGCGAAUAGGGGAGCGGCGGCGCUGUAAAGUGGGUCGCUGCUAAGAGAGGGAUAGCUCGCGCGAGGGAGGUGCGUAGGGCAGCGGCAGCGUGCGGGGCUGAACAGCGGCGGCGCGCAGCGGGCGGCUCACGGGUGUCGGCGUGCGCAGGGCGAAACAGAAGAGAAGAAAGAAAGAAAAGAGAAAGAAAGAAGAAGAAGGAAAGAAAAAGAAAGAAAAGAAGGAAAAAAGAAAAAAGAAAAAAGAAAAAAAAAAUUUUAGGCUCCAUAUGCGCUACGAUGAGAAAUAUUUUCUCUUUUUUUUUGUUUUAUUUUUUUUAUGAAAAUUAAUAAAAAUUUUUUUUGAAUCCUUACCUUUCCCGCGAACGUGACGCUGGCACGUCAAAAGGCAAGAAUCCCUUUUGACGAUUCUGAUCGUGAGUUUUCUGUUCAUCACGACGCAGGCACGCCGAGUCAGACAGACACCUACAACUUAUCAAAAACGAAAAUUUCAAACCCGAAACCAAUCAAACUCAAGGAAAACAAAGUGAAACUAUCACACAAAGCCAAACAAACGAUUAAAAGAGAUUGGGUUGCCUCCCAAUGAACGCAUUUCUUUAAUGUCUUUGGUUAGACAUGGUAAAGUGUCACUAAUUAGGACACGGUGGUGUGUCUAGACUUACUGUCUCAACCUCUCCACUUAAGAAACCUUCGUAAUAAUACUUGAGGCGGUGUCCGUUCACCACAAACUUGUUGUCUGUCUUAGCACUCCGGAUUUCAACUACACCAUAUGGAAACACGUGAGUGACAAUAAAAGGUCAAAUCCAACGGAAACGUAACUUACCUGGGAAUAGCUUGAGCCUGGAUUGGUAUAGGAGGACCUUCUGACCAACUUCAAAGGUUUUUCUAGAAAUUUGUUGAUCAUGAAAUGUCCGGUUUCUCUCCUUAUAAAUCAGUGCAUUUUCGUAGGUUUCGUUCUGAAUCUCCUCCAAUUCUUGCAAAUCCAACUUCCGUUGGGCACCGGCCUCCUCUAAACUCAUGUUGCAUUACUUUAUCGCAUAAAAAGCUCUGUACUCGAACUCCACUGGAAGGUGACACGGCUUCCCAAAUACCAACCUGUACGGUGACAUCCCUAUAGGAGUCUUGUACGCAAUCCGAUAGGCCCAGAGUGUGUCAUCCAACCGUUGACUCCAAUAUUUCCUAUCGGGGCGCACCAUUUUCUCCAAAAUGGACUUAAUCUCCCGGUUCGAUACCUCCGCUUGACCAUUGGUCUGAGGGUGAUAUGACGUUGAGACCCUGUGGAGUACACCAUACUUGCGAAACAACGCAGCUAUGGUUCUGUUGCAGAAGUGCGUUCCCCUAUCACUGACAAUAGCUCUUGGCAUUUCAAAUCGCACAAAAAUAUUAGACCUGAAAAAAUCUGCAACUACUUUUGAGUCAUUAGUCUGAGUGGCCUUAGCCUCCACCCAUUUAGACACAUAAUCAACUGCCAGCAAAAUAUAUAGAAAACCAAAUAAAGUAGGAAAAGGCCCCAUGAAAUCUAUACCCCAAACAUCAAAAAUUUCAAUAAAAAUCAACGAGACCUGGAGCAUAUGAUCUCCACGGGCUAUAUUACUUACCCUUUGACAACGAUCACUUGACUUACAGAACACAUAAGCAUCCUUAAAUAAUGAAGGCCAAUAAAAUCCACUCUCUAAAAUCUUAUGAGCAGUUCUCUUGAGUCCAAAAUGACAUCCACAGGCAAAAGUAUGACAAAAAGCUAAAAUCGAUUGAAAUUCCACUUCACUUACAGAUCUCCUCAUCACUUGACCUGCACAUCUCUUCCAUAAGUACGGGUCAUCCCAGAUGAAAUAUUUGGCAUCACUCUUCAAUUUAUCCCUCUUCGAUUUCGGCCAACCUGCAGGAAAAUUACCCGUUACUAGAUAAUUGACCAAAUCAGCAUACCAAGGCAAUUGAGAAUUUAAGAAAAAUAAAUGCUCUUCAGGGAAUGCAUCCUUCAAUGGCUCGUCCUUUUCCCCAACUGGUAUGCGACUCAAAUAGUCUGCUUCUAGAUUUUCUGAGCCUUUUUUAUCCCUUAUCUCUAGGUCAAAUUCCUGUAGUAGCAAUAUCCACCUGAUAAGCCUCGGUUUGGCAUCCUUCUUGGUCAUUAGGUACCUUAAUGCUGCAUGAUCAGAAAAUACAAUUACUUUAGCACCUAACAAAUAUGAUCUGAAUUUUUCUAAAACAAAAAUAACCGCAAGAAACUCCUUCUCAGUGGUGGAGUAAUUCAACUGUGCCCCAUUCAAAACCCGGAAUGCAUAAUAGAUGACAUGAGCCACCUUUCCUACUCUUUGCCCCAGUACAGCCCCAACAGCAUGAUCACUGGCAUCGCACAUGAUCUCAAAUGGCAAACUCCAAUCGGGGGGCUGGAUGAUCGAGGGCGAGGUAAGUAGCUCUUUCAACUUGUUGAAAACUUUCUCACACUUGUCAUCGAACUCAAAGGUCACAUCUUUUUGUAAGAGUUGGAAUAACGGGGCCCCAAUUUUUGAAAAAUUCUUGAUGAACCUUCGAUAAAAACCUGCAUGUCCAAUAAAAGAACGCAUUUCCAGCACAUUCGCGGGACAAGGUAAUGCAGAUAUAAUGUCUAUUUUAGCCUUGUCAACCUCAAUGCCCUUAGACGACACAAUAUGACCUAGGACUAUCCCGUGCUCAACCAUAAAAUGACAUUUUUCCCAAUUAAGCAUGAGAUCAGUCUCUAUACACCUUAUCAGGAUCAAUUUCAAGUUAUCUAGACACGUAUCAAAAUUAUCACCAUACACACUGAAAUCAUCCAUGAAAAUCUCAAUUAUUUUCUCAACAUACUCAGAAAAGAUGCUUACCAUACACCUUUGGAAUGUUGCAGGUGCAUUGCAUAACUCAAAUGGCAUUCGUCUAUAGGCAAAGGUCCCGAACGGGCACGUGAAGGUUGUCUUCUCUUAAUCCUCUGGUGCAAUUGCUAUCUGAAAAUAUCCUGAAAAUCCAUCCAAAAAGCAAUAGUAAGCUCUACAAGCUAAACGUUUAACCAUUUGGUCAAUGAAAGGGAGAGGGAAAUGGUCCUUUUUGGUGAUGGCGUUCAGCCUACGGUAGUCAAUACACUGCCUCCAUCCAGUGGAUUUCCGCACUGGCACGAGCUCACCCGUUUGGUUAGCCUCUACCGUCACUCCUGCCUUCUUUGGGACAAUCUGGACUGGACUCACCCAAGAGUUAUCUGAUAUUGCAAAAAUAAUUCUCACAUCUAGCAAUUUCAAAAUUUCUUUCUUUACCACUUCCAUCAUGAGGGGGUUGAGCCUCCUUUGAGCCUACCGAACAGGUUUAGCAUCCUCUUCCAGCCUAAUCCGAUGCAUACAGAUGGCUGGGCUGAUCCCCUUAAUGUCUGCGAUUGUCCAACCUAUCGCCUCUUUAUGCUCUCGAAGGACUCGGAUCAGUUUCUCCUCCUAGAUUUUUGAAAAUGCCGAUGAGAUAAUCACUGGGAGUGUCUCAUUGUCACCCAAAUACGCAUACUUCAGGUGCUCUGUUAGGGGUUUUAACUCCAAUUCAGGUGCAUGCACCACAGAUGGCAAUACCCUCUGGUAAAAUUCGGGAAUAAAGAUAGGUAGGAUUUCAUACCUUUUUGUGGUGGUCGGCAAUGAGUGUAAUGCACCUAUUGUGUAUUUUAGAUUCUCGCUCCAUUCCACCUCAGGAGUUGUCCCCAACUCGAGGUACUUCGUUAAAGCCACCUCCAACUCAUCCCUGCCAACAGUUUCGAACACUUCCUACACCGCAGGGUCAAUAGCACUCACAGAUAAAACUGAGCUAAAUUUGGAGAUCGAGUGAUAUUUCAUAGUAUCAAAAAUAUUAAAAUGCACAAUUUUCCCAUCAAAUUUCAUGGAUAAGGUACCCUUAUUAACAUCAAUUUUUGUUUGUACUGUGCUCAUAAAGGGUCUACUCAAUAACAAAGGUGAGGGAUCGGGGGAGUGAUCAUCAUCCAUAUCAAGUACAUAAAAAUCAGUUGGAAACACCAAAUCAUUAACUUUCACCAACACAUCUUUAACCAACCCAUCAGGAUAUGCAUUAGUUCGGUCAGUUAAUUGAAUGUUAUUCCAGUUUCUUUUAAUAGACCUAGUUUCAGAGAAGCAUAGAUAGAUUUAGGCAUGACAUUAAUUGAUACUCCCAGAUCCAACAUGGCCAUUCUAAUCACAGUGUUGCCUAUCCUACAGGGGAUAGUAAACAUACCUGGGUCCCCACACUUUGGUGGAAGCUUUCUCUGCAGGACCGCUGACACAUUCUCCCCAACAAUGACCCUUUCAUCUCCCUCAAUCGCCUUCGGUUGACACACAAGUCCCUUAGGAACUUGGCAUAUUUUGGUACUUGUUUGAUGGCGUCUAAGAGGGAGAUAUUUAUCUCCACCUUGCGAAACACCUCCAAGAUCUCCUACUCUUUAUCCUGUUUCUUCGAUUUUUUCAACCUGCUAGGAAAAGGAGGCGGGUUAGUUUUAACUGUAAUUAUUGGGUUUGGAAGUACCUUUGGAUCUGCACCAUUGCUGUCCUCCCUCUCAAACUCAUUUUCGAUCUUUUUCUCAUCCUUAUCCUUAGGGAUCACAGGUUCAGGCCCCUGAAUUUCCUUGCCACUCCUCAAGGUCAUGGCGCUCACAUUCUCCGAGUUCAACUCAGGCUGAGACGGCAAUUUAUCCUGGUUUUGGGACUCCAAACGGUUGAUUGAUGUGGUCAUUUGACUCAUCUGAGUCCUUAUGUCCUGCAUUUCGGAAUCCGUCCUUUGCUGAUUUUGCGUAAUAGUUGCCAUCAGCUGUUUCAUCAUCUCCUCCAAAGAUGGACCAGAACUUGGGGGCGGAGUGGUCGGGGCUGGUAUUGUUGCUGGUACCCUAGUUGCUUAUUUGGCACGAAAUUAGACUGCCUGUUCGGUGCAAAGUUGGGCUGCCUAUUUCCUCCAUAGCUGAAAUUCAGGUGAUCCUUUCAGCCGGGAUUGUAGGUACUUGAAUCGGGGUCAUAGGGCCUUCGUGGCGCGGGCGCGUGACCAGCCAUGUUCACUUGCUCUGCACUUUCUUCCUGGAGCAUUGGGCACAUGUCUGUAGGAUGACCCAUACCCGUGCAUACCCCGCACACCUUGGCCUGAGAUGCACUUCCUACAGCAAGUUGCCUAACAAAAGAAGUCAAUUCAGUCAACUGCUGCUGGAUAGAGGAUGUCUCUACCUCGUUCACUUUGCGUACCGGGACAUCCUCCCUUGUACCAAAUUGCAGCGAAUUCUCUGUCAUCCCCUCUAUUAACUCCCUUGCUUCCCGAGGGGUUUUGUUCACCAGUGCCUCUCCGCUUGCAACAUCAAUUAUACUCCUAUCUUUGAAAAGGAGCCCCUCAUAAAAAUACAAUAUGAGCAACUGCUCACUUAUCUGGUGCUGGGGGCACUUGUUGCACAACUUCUUGAACCGCUCCCAGUACUCAUAGAGUGACUCCCCUGGGUGCUGCUUGAUCCCGCAAAUUUCUUUCCUUAGACUUGCAGCCCUGGAUGCAGGAAAAUAUUUUUCUAGAAAUUUUUUCUGCAACUGGUCCCACGUGAUAAUGCUACCUGGUGGCAGGUAGUAUAGUCAGUCCUUUGCAGAGUCUUUCAAUGAGAAAGGGAAUGCCCGUAUUUUUAUUUGCUCUUCUGUGAUUCCCGGGGGUUUCAUACUAUUGCACACAACAUCGAACUCCUACAGAUGCUUAUACGGCUCCUCACCUGGUAAACCAUGGAAAGAAGGUAAAAGAUGAAUAAGGCCAUAUUUUAAUUCAAAUGGAGUGCUAUUAUCUAAAUUUGGGAAAGCAAUACACAAAGGCUGCUGAUUUAAGUUAAGAGCAGCCAACUCCCUUAAUGUUCGUGCAUUAGCCAUGGUGUCUUCCUCCUGGUCAGAGUCACUCGAAGUGUCACCAAACGAGUCUGUUGGUUCAACUUCUGACUCAGAUCCCUGAGAUACAGCACUGGAGUGCUCCUCUCUGAGAUGUCUGGUUUUCUUUCUUGUCCUACGCGCGGUUUUCUCUACUUCAGGGUCAAAAACCAAAUCACCUGUACGAGAAGACCGAGGCAUACACUAGAAAAAAAAAUACCAGAAAAUUAGAACAAAAAAUGAGUUUAAAAAGAAACAAAUAAUAACGCCAGUCCCCGGCAACGGCGCCAAAAAUUGACAGGGUGUCGAAGCCUGUACAAUAAUAAAAUUAAACCUAAUUGUCAGUUAAAAUGACCAAACCCAAUUCCAAGUACUGGAGCAGGGACUCUAGGUGUGCAAUGGGUUACUUGAUUCACCCUGUUUCCGAAGAGUUUGCUUGGUCCGAUAUGCCCGAAUGGAAUGGUUAUUUCUUUUCACAAAUAUUUAUGAAUUCGUAGACAGGGCAAGUACGGUCGUAUCCACUGAGACUGGGUAUACUUGUUUCUUAAGAAAUUCAAAGCAACACAGGGGGUGAUUUUGUAGGAAUGAUAACAAUCAAAUAAAUUCAAAUAAGAAAAUAAAAAUGAAAAUAAAUAACUGACUAGAAAUUAAACAAUAAUUCACUGAACUCAGAGUAACAAUAAUUAAAGACCCAAAUCAAUUAAAACAAGGAAGCACUUAAAAAUAAAAUAAAGUAGGCAACUAAAAGUCAAAUGGCAAUUCACCAAAAUUAAGGUAAUAUUAAUUAAAAGUCUAGCCAAGAAAUGACUUUAGCAAUGGUUCACCUAAUUGAUCAUCGAAGCAAAGGCAAUCCCAAUUGUUUAUCAAUAAAUAGGUUAUAACUACCAAACAAGCGAUAGCAGUCAACCCCUCCUUACUGUGUCGAUGAUUAAGGUACGCCCGUUAAUCACUGCUCUAAUUAAGGAAUAAUCCUAGGUACGCCCGUAAGAUUUAAUUCCCCAAUUGUCUUACGUAUUAGAGGAGUCCUAUUCUAACCAAAUAACGCACUACCAGGGUUAUUUUAGAUUAGCCCGUGUAUUCCCCUGACAGGAAUCUAAUCGUGCCAGUUGUCACUAUUUCAGGACAAUUAAACAAUUACGGAUUUAAUGCUUUAAUUGACAGUAGGUUACCAAAUCAAUUAAUUAUCCGGAUCCAAGACAAUCAAUUAAUUAAAUAACCAUAAGCAUAGCAAACAAGGAAUAUGAAAGGCGAAUGAAAGUUACAGGUAACAAUUGAGUCUCUUAAUUGUUUCUAGCAUCCGUAGAGCAAAGCUACUCAAAAGGUACAAGGAGGAAAAGUCAAGUAGAUAGCCUCCAAUUCUCCUGACAUGCGUGAGAACAAGCAAAAAGGAAUUCUAAAGGAAGAAGCUAAUGAAAUGCUAAGCUAGUCCUCAUUGAGUUUGUUUGGAUAAGAGUUUAUUUGGAUGAUUUAUUUGAGAUAUUUACUGUAGCACUUUUUGUGAUAUGAUGUAUGUGAGAUAAAAAGGUGAUUGGGAUUUGUGAGAAUAAAUUUUGCAAACCAAAUUAUCUUUGUCCAAACAAACUCAUUGUCUUUCUCCCAGCCGUGGAGAAUGCCUACAAAAGGCUCGGAGGAAAAAGUCAAAAAGUGCGGCUCUCCAGCCCCUGCUCUCUUCCUUCUCUUUUUUUUCUCCUAAUUCCCCGCGGCACCUCAGCAGAAUGAAGCCCUUCCAGCCGUCAUUCCCUUGCGGAAUUUACCAAAAUGGACGUAACAUCUUGUUUUUCAAACUGGGUCAAUCUCUAUCAUCGGGACUCUUUUUCUGCCAAAUGUGCACCUGUCAUCAUAUUUUCGUUCUACUCCCUGAAAUAAGUGCAAAUUACGAAAAGUAAGUAGAAUCUACUAAUUAAUCCACAUCAGGUCAGGUAAUAGGGGAAAUUAAUAAUAAAAUAAAUAGAUAAAUUGCAACCUAUCACUUGUUCAAAUAAUUAAAUUGCCAGCACAAUUUCCAGAUUAUCCAAUAAAGAAAAUUCGUCUAGAUAAUGCUGGUGAAUAUUCGUCACAUGCUUUUGACGAUUAUUGUAUGUCUAUUGGAAUAACUGUUGAACAUCCUGUAACUUAUGUUCACACACAAAAUGACCUAGCUGAAUCAUUCAUUAAACGGUUACAAUUAAUCGCUAGACCAUUGUUGAUGAUAUCUAAAACUUCCUUCAUCUGCUUGGGGACAUACUAUUUUACAUGCAGCAACACUUGUGAGAAUUAGGCCAACAAGUUAUCAUACUUACUCUCCCCUACAAUUAACUUUUGGUUAUGAACCCAAUAUUUUUCAUUUACGAAUAUUUGGUUGUGCGGUAUAUGUUCCAAUUGCACCGCCCCAACGUAGUAAAUUGGGCCCCCAAAGAAGAUUGGAAAUAUAUGUCGGAUAUGAAUCACCUUCAAUCAUUAAAUAUAUGGAACCAUUAACAGGUGAUUUAUUUAUUGCGAGAUUUGCAGAUUGCCAUUUUGAUGAAUCACAUUUUCUGACAUUAGGGGGAGAUAAAAAUCAACCGAAAAAGGAAAUCACUUGGAAAAUAUCAUUGAAUUUUCUUGAUUCUCGUACUAAAGAAUGUGAAUUAAAAGUUCAAAAGAUUAUACAUUUGUAAAAAAAUUACAAAUCAAUAACCAGAUGCAUUUAAUGACUCCAGAAGAGUUACUAAAUCACAUAUUCUUGCUGAAAAUGCUCCGAUUAAAAUCGAUAUCCCUGAAGGACAAAUUACAAGUGCUAAUAAGUCUAAAGCACGCCUGAAGCGUGGGAGACCUCUUGGUUUCAAAGAUAAAAAUUCUCAAAAAAAAAAAAGAGGAGUAGAUGAAUCAACAAUUAGUGACAAAAUUCAACAUCCUGAAGAGGUCGCUCCUAAAGAACCAAUUCUUGAAGAAAAUGAAAUUAUAGAAAACUCAAUAAAUUUUGUCACUUUAAGAAAAAGUUGGAAUCAAAAAGAAAUAAUUAUUGAUAAUAUUUUUGCAUAUAACGUAGCACUUGAUAUUAUGGCAGAGGAUGAGGAUUAUGAGCCUAGAUCGGUUGAUGAAUGUCGACGUAGAAAUGAUUGGCCAAAAUAAAAAGAUGCGAUCCAAUCUGAAUUGGACUCACUGGCUAAAAGGAAAGUUUUUGGACCUGUAUUCCAAACACCUGAAGGUGUAAAGCCAGUAUGAUAUAAAUGGAUAUUUGUGAGAAAAAGAAAUGAGAAAAAUGAAAUUAUGAAGUAUAAAGCAAGACUUGUAGUCCAAGAAUUUUCACAAAGGCUUGGAUUUGAUUAUAAUGAAACGUAUUCACCUGUAGUGGAUGCUAUCAUAUUUAGAUAUCUUGUGAGUUUUGCAGUACAUAAAAUAUUAGAUAUGCGUCUAAUGGACGUUGUUACUGCAUAUUUAUAUGAAAAUCUUGAAAAUGAUAUUUAUAUGAGAAUCCCUGAAGGAUUCAACAUGCCUGAAGCAUGCAAAUCAACUCCUAAAGAUAUUUAUUCUAUUAAAUUACAAAGGUCUUUGUAUGGGUUCAAACAAUCUGGACGUAUGUAGUAUAACCGCCUCAAUGAAUGUCUAACUAAAGAAGGUUAUACCAAUGAUCUAAUAUGUCCAUGUAUUUUUAUCAAGAAAAAUGGAUCAAAUUUUGUGAUAAUUGCGGUAUAUGUUGAUGAUCUAAAUUUAAUUAGAACUCCUGAAGAGAUUCAAAAUAGUGUUGAAUAUUUGAUAAAAGAAUUUGAGAUAAAAAAUUUUGGAAAGACAAAAUUCUGGCUUGGUUUACAAAUUGAGCAUUUGAAAGGUGAAAUUUUUGUUCACCAAACUGCUUAUACCCAAAAGGUAUUAAAACGAUUUUAUAUGGAUAAAGCACAUAUAUUAAGUACCCCAAUGAUCGUCAGAUCAUUAGAUCCUAAUAAGAAUCCUUUUAGACCACGAGAGAAAAAUGAAGAGAUACUUGGUCCUGAAAUACCAUAUCUCAGUGCAAUUGGUGUACUAAUGUAUCUUGCUAAUUGUACAAGACCUGAUAUAUCAUUUGCAGUGAAUUUAUUAGCAAGAUUUAGUUCCUCACCCACAAGACGACAUUGGAAUAGUAUUACACAUAUUUUUCGCUAUCUCCAAGGAACAAUUGAUUUUGGUUUAUUUUAUUCAAAUAAAUUCAAACAUGAAUUGGUUGGUUAUACUGAUGUUGGGUAUUUAUCUGACCCGCAUAAAGCAAGAUCUCAGACUGGUUAUUUAUUUACAUAUAGAGGCACAGCCAUUUCUUGGCGAUCUACAAAGCAAUCACUAACCGCCACUUCAUCGAAUCAUGCUGAAAUAAUAGUAAUUCAUGAAGUCAGUCGAGAAUGUGUUUGGUUAAGAUCAAUGACCCACUAUAUUCGAAAGAGUUGUGAGUUAUUCUCCGAAAAAGAAAAUCCUCCAACUACAUUAUAUGAAGAUAAUGCAACUUGUAUAGCUCAAUUGAAAGGAGAUAGGACAAAAUACAUUUCACCAAAAUUCUUUUUUACUCAUGAUUUGUAAAAGAAUGGUGAAAUUGAUGUGCAACAAAUCCGAUCAGAUAAUAAUUUGGCAGAUUUAUUUAUCAAGACAUUACCAACUGCGACAUUUGAGAAAUUGGUGAAGAGUAUUGGAAUGCAACAAUUAAAAGAUCUCAAAUGACGUUUGCAUCAGGGGGAGAAAUUAUUACACAAGAAUAAUGUACUCUUUUUCCUUCACUAGGGUUUUUGGUCCCACUGGGUUUUUUCCUAGUAAAGUUUUAACGAGGCAUAUUCUUUGUGUAAUGGACAUCCAAGGGGGAGUGUUAUGAAAUAACAAAAAAAAUAUGGAUGUCCCUUUGUAUUCCCAAGGGGAUUAAUUCAUGAUUUUAUGGCUACAUUAUGUAUAGAAGUUACAAUCCAUAAAUCUAUUCAUGUAGUGGAAAAACCGUUUCAUAAGUUUCUUCAUAUUAUUGUAGUAGUGGGUGUUUAAUAUGAUUUAUGUAUCUUUGAUCUUGUAAUACCUAUAUAUAGAGGUACAUUGACACCCUUUGGGAGCACUUUUGUAUUUUGUUGGAAUACAAGAAUAUCACUCUCCAUUUCUCUACUUCUUUCUCCAAUAUUUCACUUGAUAUUAUAGUAGCUUAUUUUAUUAGUUUUAUAACAAAAAACCCUUUCUUAAAUAUUUUUUCUUGCGAAGUCAAUAAGUAUAAUAUGGCACGGUUUUGAUCACUUAGGAUUCGUUUGGUUCACGGACCAAAUAAAAUGGGAUGACUCAUGCUCGAAUUAUUAAUCCUGAAUUGAGUCAUUUUCAAAUAAAUAAUAUAAGUUAUCUAGUGUUUGAUUGGUUAUAAAUUGGACAGGAUAUGUUGGGAAAUAAUCUUAUCCCGUGUUUGGUUGGAAAUUGGAUGAGAAAAGAUUACCAUUUUAAUGACCAAAGUACCCCUUAAUUUGUAGAAUUCUUUUUAAUAAAAUAAUUUAAUAUUUUAAAAAUAUUAAUAAUUUAUUAUUAAAAAAAUAAUUUAAUAAAAAAUUUCAUAUUUAUAACUUUUAUUAAAAUAGAGUAGUUUGAAACUUUAGAAUUAUAAAGUAAAUCAUGCGUUUUAAUAUAUAAAAAUUUGCAUUCACUCAAACUCAACCCAUUCGGGUUCUUAAAAAUACAUUUUUGACCAAGUUUUUGAAUCUACAUUUGAAAUUCAAUUAAAUAAUGGGCUGAGCUUUGCUAAGGUAGGGUUAAAUCGAUUAAAACCUAACCCAUUUAAGAGUUUUAAAUGAGCGAACUCAAUCUAAUAUAGAAGAUUUUUCUUUGGACCGAGUUUGAGUUUAUUGAAGUCCUCAUUCGCAAAGGCCAAUUGAUAAGGUUAUAUAUUUAUAUAGAAUUUGGUUUAGAAAAUAAGCUUAGUAAGGAUAAUUUAGUCCAAGGGCAAUAUAGUCCUUCUAUUAUGAUGUUAGUAUGGCAAAUUAGUCAAAAAAUUUAAAUUAAUUAAUAGGGGUAAAUUAGUCAAAAUUUUAAAAUAAUAAAUAGGAGCAAAUUAGUCAAAAAAUUAUUCGUGCUCCGAGUCUUGAUUAUUCCUCAACUAGAUAAAAGGAUUUAGCCUUGCCGCAUAAUCACAAAGCAAUUGAAGGCUUUCGAUGGAAUAGAAUUUAGUUGAUGGAAGAGGAAAAAGCCAUGAAUCUUUGACUAAUGUUACGAAGAAGAAAAGAAAGACAAAAGUUUCCAAGCUAAAAGACCCAGCCCUAGUCUAUUCUUGUUUUCUUUUAAAGCUCCGCCGCCGUCCUCUAGCUAGCCGAAUUAGAGGUUGUUUCUCAAACGAAUUGCUUCCUUAUUUCCCUCCUUGAAUUGCUGCCAAAAGUCGUCUUUGACUUUGUUUUCUUAUUCCCGCAAGUUCAGAAUUUGUUCCCAGAGAAAGGCGGUAGUUCCACGGAUAGGACCCGUGGUCCGUCUUUUUCACGCAGCUCUGUAUUAUUUGGCGUGGGCAAGCUAUAGAAUGUCUAGUCUUCUGAAAUUUGCCUCUUCUUGUCACUUUUAACACCACUCGUCUGCCAAUAACACAAAUACCAAAUCUGAGCAGAAAUCCAGUGUCUUGCACAAUAAAUGACCAAAAUUAAGAUCAAAUACCAACGAAUAAAACACACAAUUAUAUCACUAUCAAAGAGGGAAUGGAACACAUUGUACUGACAGUAGACAUUUUGUGGCAGAUAUGAAAAUCUAGAAACCACUUUCAGCUCAAGAAGGAAAGGAAAUGUCCAGGAACAAUGGCAAGCAAAGCAGUGCAAGAAUGGCAAGAAUAUAGAGUAGUGCAAAGAGGGGAAGAUGGGGAAACAUGGAAAGAUAAGGAGAAUUCUGAGGUUGAGGUCAAGUGGAAACCACCUACAAAUGGUUUCAUUAUGUUAAACAUUGAUGCAACUUUGGAUAAGAAACAAGAGAAGGCUGGUUGGGGAAUUGUAACAAGGAAUGAACAUGGAGAAGCAGUAUGCACUUAAGCUGGAAAUGAAAGCAAGAACAGUAAGGCUGAGAUUGAAGAAGCGUUGCAAUCAGAACUGCAUUGACGAAGGCCAAUUAGGAAGGUUGGAGGAAAGUUAUAGUCCAAUCAGAUUGCAAAAAUAUGGUGGACAGGAUUGCAGAGAGUGGUACACUUGAUCUUGUGAUAGGAACAAUAGUUGAGGACAUAUUUAGUUUUAUACAAAGUUUCAAUAAAUGACAUCUUUCCUUUAUCAAGAGGGAAGGUAACUAUAUUAGUCAUCAUUUAGCAAAAUUUGCCAUAAACCUGGUUAAGGAAGUCUGUUAAAGGGAUUCUUUCCCUCCCUGGUUAAUCAACUUAGCCAGAAAUGAAGUAGGAGCAAUUGCUCCAUCCUUGUAAUCCUUUGUGUUUGAAAUACAAAGCUAUUAUUGUUCGGUAAAAAGAAAAACUUAGUUAACUCAAUUAAUUGAAAAUUUUAUGUCUAUAGUUAACAAUAGAACAUUUUGAAAGACUACAUACAACCUAGAUUCUUUGUUGCAUUCAGAGAAAGAAAAGGUCCAACCCCCAUUAAUAUACCGUGUGUUUUAGUCAUUUUUUAUUGAAAAAGAAAAAGAAAAAGAAAGCCAUAUUGAAGGUGACAGAUUGUGAUAUUACUAGGCUAUGGAAGUUGGCAUUCAGCAAUGUGUUUGCAUUAAGAAUAGGAUAAAUUACCUUUUACUUCCGUGGUUUGGUGUUUUAUGACAUAACUUCCCUAUGACUUAAAAAUUUAUAUAUAAUCUUCUCAUGAUUUGGGUUAAUGUGUCACUAUUAGUUUUUUGUCCAAACAAACAGCCAAUAAUAAAAAACAAAUUUAAGCUAAUAAAAAGAUAAAUUUACUCUUUCAUUACUUCUUUUUUUCCUCUAAACAUAAAAAAGAAGAAAUUAAAAUAAAAAAUAGAUAAUAUGAACUAGAAAAUAUCAUUAAAAAUUUGGUUUAAAAACAUAUAAUGAUAUUUGUGGUACAAAAAGGUUUGAUAUUUUUUGUUUCUUAUUUAUUUAUUUUAUGUUCCUAUUCCAUCUUUUUGGUUUCUUAUUUAUUUUUUUAUUUCCCUUUCAUCACUUUGGUAUUUGGAGAAAAUUAAGAUUUUAUAGGUUAAAGUAUAGAUUUUCAAAAUCAUCUAUUCUCUUCCCAAAAAAAAAAAAGAGAGAGAGAGUGAGAGAAAGAAAAGGAAAAAAGGAAAAAAAAAAGUGAAAGGAUGAACUGUCAAUUUAUUAGUUGACUUUGAUAUUUUAUUAUUGACCACUAAUUUUAACAGAAAAACUAAUAGUAACACUUCAACCUAAACUAUGACAAAAUUAUAUAUAAAUUUUUUGACGAUAAGGAGGUUGUAUGGUAAAAUACCAUACCACACCACGGGGAAGGGGAUAAAAGGUAAUUUAUCCUUAAAAAUAUAGUAGUGGUUAAGCAUACAGAACAAGGAUAUGACUCCGCAGCCAUAUUCAUGUAAUCUAAAUUUUGGCUGGGAUAUGAGAAUUCGCAUUCACUUUCACACUUUGUAUUUAUGGUUACAGGGAUACCAGGAAAUAGCAGAACAAUCUCUGCAUUGAUUCAUUUACUUGGUCUGACAUAUGCUCUAUUUAUAGGUUCAAAGAAUCUGCAUGGAGUUUGGUACUGCUUCAGGGGUCAGAAACAUGGAUAGACCAAUGUUUUUAAACUCGGACCGGUCAGUGAACCGGAGAGGUUGCCGGUUCGCGGUUCGACCGGUCCGACCGGUCCAACCGGCCGGUUCAUAGGUUCACUGUUUUUUUUUUUUUUUUUUUGUUUUAGUGUUAAGUACUAAGCAGGUUUCAUUCUACACUUGAACUUUACCAACAUAACUUAAUUUAAGUUAUGAUAAUAAUAAAUUUCGUAAAAGUUAUACAUAAAACAUGGAAUGAUAAAUAUAAUUAAAAUAUCAUAAUUCACCACAAGUUUUCAUAAAUUCAUUAUAAACAUAAAUAGAUACAAUCCAAAUGUUCACCAAUUAUCACAAAUAAAAACACAAAAAAUAAAUAAAUUAAAUAUUGAAAUUCUUUUACAACCCUUAAAAAAAUCCAUAAAAGAGUUCAAGUUAAGACAAACCAUUUGAAUAACAAAUUUUUAUGAGUGGCAUGAUAAGCAACCACACCAUCUUCACAAUUUAAUCAACUUAAGCUGAAAAAGUUAAAAUUUUAUUAUAAAAAUAUAAAUCUAAUUGCUCAAACUAAAAAAAAACUAAAUUUUUUUGAAAAACAAAUAUACAGUUAAACACAUAAAAAAUUAAUUGCUACUAAACAUUACUAAUUAACAUGUUAUAAUAAAUUCAAUGAUCCUAUACCAUUAAUUAUUUUAAAUUCAAUUAUCAAUAGUUUCGAUUAUGUGCCAACUACCAUAUUUUUUACCAGCCCAAUGUUAUUAUUUGUAAUUCCUACCCAAUUCCUACAUGGAUGUGCACUACUUUUGCAAAAAUUUCAUCCUUAAUUAAUCAAAUAAAAAUAAAACAAAAAAUGAGGGAAACAUAUGAAAAUUGAGGGGAAAAAGAAGAAAAUGCAAAAAAAUCAACUAAAGAUAAUAAUAUAGAAAAAAAAAACCUUGAAAAGAAAAAAAUUAAACUUACCAAGAUGUUGGAAAACAAGAAAAGUUGAAAUUUUCAACUUGUUUACAAUCUGCUAAAGAUAAUAACCUGAUAAUAAUGGUGAAGACUUGAGAAAAUCUUGUUGUGGAUAUUUGGGUUAAAAAUGGUUAAGAAGAAAAAAUUGAAAAAAAAAAAUAAGAGAAGAACUUGAUGUUUUAAUAUAUUUUUUAGUCAAGUAGAAUUCUCAACAAACUUAACUACAGUCUAGCGGUAAGAUUGUCAUAUGCAAAUUGGGAGACCCAGGUUCGAAUCAUGGCUACACCAUUCUUGGUAUUUUGUUGAAAAAUUUAAAAAACCGCCGGUUCACGGUUCUUAACGGUUCACACGGUUCGUCCGGGUUUCAACGGUUCUCCAUGAACUUCCGGCUUUAGCAUUAGACCGGACCGGUGACAUGGCCGAUUCGCGGUCCAACCGGCCGGUCCGGUCCGGUUCUGAAAACACUGGGAUAGACACAAUUAUGACACAAGAUUUGAGUCUGGUUGCCAAAAUUUCACAAGAAAAGGUUCAUUUGGCAUCUAAUCUUUUAAAACCAAUCCAUGAGAUUUGCAUUAUAAACACAUAAUUCAGUACCAUUCUUGGUAUUUUGUUGAAAAAUUUAAAAAACCGCCGGUUCACGGUUCUUAACGGUUCACACGGUUCGUCCGGGUUUCAACGGUUCUCCAUGAACUUCCGGCUUUAGCAUUAGACCGGACCGGUGACAUGGCCGAUUCGCGGUCCAACCGGCCGGUCCGGUCCGGUUCUGAAAACACUGGGAUAGACACAAUUAUGACACAAGAUUUGAGUCUGGUUGCCAAAAUUUCACAAGAAAAGGUUCAUUUGGCAUCUGAUCUUUUAAAACCAAUCCAUGAGAUUUGCAUUAUAAACACAUAAUUCAGUAAUCUGUGAGAUACUGAGACGGCCUCCGAAUAAACCAAAAGCUGUGUCCACAAGAUGCUUAAUAGAAAAACAAAUUGCCAGAACAGGAUGGUUUAGUUCCAGGUAGCAUUACAUAGAAGAGUUUCAAACAGAAUUUGAUGGACUAAUAAUGACACAAUCUCAGCAGCUUCAGCAACCUGUUAAGAACAUUGAACAAACAUCAUUAGAUACGUUGACAUGAAAAAGAUAAACAAAAAACAGAAGAAAAAAGUCACCACAAUAAAUAGUAGAACAACGAGAAACUGGUUUUCCACUUCUCAAUGCUGCUCUGCACAUAGUAUCACCACUACUCUACAUACAAUCUUCUUCCCGUUUUGAAUAAAGUAGGGUUCUCAACCAUUAUCUCCAACAUAAAUCAGACCAGUAAAUCCAUUUUCCUUUUCCUGGUCCAAGAACUUCCACAAGAAAAAGACUUCAGACCUCCAAAUAUGUAUUUAUAUGCUCUAUGAUGAACAAGUUCCUGCUACAUGACAAUUAAAGACGAAAUUUGCCAUCCUAAACGCAGCAAUUGUUUAACACUAAAACACAUGCAAUUUGCUGUAACAGAGUGGAAAACUAUGUUACUCGGGCUCGGGUAUGAGAGUCAGAUAUGGGUAUGUGUCUAAGUGUCUAGUUCUUUAAUCAUCUAAAAUCAGGAUAAAGGGACACUUCUAAAGAGUCGGAUACUGGUACUUAGGUAUGAUGGACUUUCUAGGAAAUAUAUAUACAAAUUAUGUACAUUGAUUGUUGUUUACUUAUAAACGAACAGGGCCAUUUUCCUUGGGAGCUUUUCAGAUUUCAUUUAUACAAGGGAAAUUCAGAAUUUUAGAUAGGUCUUCUUUCUCUCUAACAUGAAAGUCCUAAAGUUUUCCACUUCACUUUACUUCUCUCCUCCCCCUUCACCAUCAACAUCCACUGACAAAAAAGAAAGUACCCAAAAAGUUGUUGAAGUCCAAUGCCUGGUCGACCUCUCCUGAUGUAUCUGUCAGUGAAGGAAGCAUCCCAUACCAGUACCUGUGCCAAGUUAUGUCGACACGGUAGAGCCGGAGUAACAUAGGUGGAAAGGUGAUUUUCCGGUAGCUAAUUUGUCAGUGUCACAAGUUUGACAAGCAUGGUGCAGCUUAUACCCAUUAUGGUAACAAUGGCUUUCACCCUGACAAAAUUAUACAUAACUCGAUGACUAUGUCUUGGAAAAUAUUUUGCAUUGCUCGGGCAUCCAAGAAAGAUAGAUAGUGAGAGUGAUAGCCAGAAAUUUCAAUCACUUAAUAAAGCUCACUUCUCUCUUCCUUUCUACCUGGCACGUUAGAAUCAACAUUCCAUUCCAUGGAACUGGUCAUGAAAAAGUAAAUGUGUGUUAGGAACCAAAUAUACCCCUCAUCUCAACACACAUUAUUUAUUUCUACAGCCAAGCCCCACAAAACUUUGGUUUCAAGAGGACAGAAAGCAAAUUCCUAAGCCCAGAUUCCCAGGACUACAGCUUUUUGUUAAAUGUGAGUAUUAUCGUCAGCUAACCUUUCUCUGGAAAAGCUGUUUAAUCAGAUUCUUUCCUAGCUGGGGAUACAAUGUACCUCUACAUGCCCCUUGGAAGAGAGCUUUUGGCUACAAACCUCAAUAGGCCACAAUUGUUUUCCAGCUUAGCUCCACUACAUGGAUAAUUUCCUAUUUCUUUUUUUUUCAAGUCCUUUUGCCCAGUAUCAAGUAAAAAAUGAGGCUCAUAGAAGAAAUGAAAGCUGUAACUGGCCAAAUCUUGCCGGUAUUGACCAGAACUGACUACUAAAGCACCCCAAAUCCCAUGGUUUUUUCUUCAUGCGAGCAGUUGCACUUAUAGAUAGCCAGUUUGUCACACAUCACAUAGUCUACUCACUUAAUAUAACUAAAAAGCAGUGCUCUUAGUUUUGAUUGAUGCUUUGACAGAAAUUGGUAAACAUUCAGGUACAAAUGCAAUACCCUAGACAGAAACCUCAUGUACUGCAGGUGAACUAAGUGGCUAAAUGUGAAAAUCAUUUAUUAGAUAGUACAAAGGCACUGCAUUUGCAAUCUUUUCCAUUGCAACAGAACGAUUAGCUUCAAUACUUCUGAGGUACAAAAUUAUCAAAAUUUGUUCAGUUGACAACUAAUCAGGCCAUUAUCGUUAGCACAUCUAGAAACAACUUUGGGAGUUAGAUGUAAUAUCAAUGAACAUUCAAAGGUAGCAAAACGCUAAUCACAGAUCCACACAAAGCAAAGCAACUAAAAAGUUCUCUCACUGAGUAUGUCUGUGCUGCACAGAGCAAAUACAUCCUAAAACAAGUUCAUAAACAUUGUCUCCAAAGUGGCACUCUUCUUUGCCUGCCAACUGAAGCAAAUCUCCAACCAACAAAAGUAAGGUACAAAAGAAGGAUAUAAGCUUUAUCACAAAGAAGCACAUAAAUGAGCAAUGCAACACUCUUAACAGAUACAUAAAUUCACUAAGAAACUCAUAAACUUGAGUUAAACCACAUUCGAUUGGAGAAAACGUAAAUGACCACUUACAAAACUAAAACAAGAAAAAUCGUUGAUUAAUACUCCCUCCGUCCCAUUGACACGGUCAUAUUUUCCUUUUUAGUUCUCCCAAAAUAUUUAUAACUUACAUAAAUUGGCUAACACAUUUGCAUUCAAUUCCUCCAUUUACCGUUCAAACACUCCCUAAAAGUCCAAUGCAUGUCUUUUCAUGAGCCCACAGAUUAUUACCGACGAAACUAGGACAACUUCUUUUGUAGUACGCGCUAGUUGGCAUUAAGAAACUAAAGCCAUUAAGUGUUCUGAUGCACGCGCUAGUUGGCAAUCAUAUCUGCGAUUGGACAAACAUCUUGGCUCCACGAUUCUUUAUGUCUUAACACAACACUUAAAGCUCUUCAAUUUUCAAAUUCUAUCCACUCUUCAUAAAAAUUACAGUCCCCGAAGUGCGAUAAAUUUUAUGGGACAAAGCGAGUAAUUCUCAAUAGGAGACCAAAACUGUUCCUAAAUCGUAAUUUACUGUAAUUUACUGUAAAAAUUAAAUCGUCUAUUGUACGAAUCAUUAGCUCAUAAUUUGCAAGCACUUCAACCAAAAAUUACAUUUCUAUUCCAAAAACCCCAUUCAGAAAUAACCUUAAGCUGUCAAAACAUAGAGAUUAUAAAUCCUAAAGACUGUCAAUUAAAAAAACUAAAGCAAACCCACUUAACAAAACCUAUCCAACCGUCACCCAAGAAAAAAAAUUUUAUUUACCUUCCCUAAGAUUAAACCAAAUAAAACUUGAAACCCAGAAAAAUGUCAAAAAGCCUCCAAAAAAUCCCCAGGUAAAAUCAUCCAAAAUAAAACUCAAAGAAAAAACUAAAAAAUAAUUACCUUUAGAUCAAGCAUUGGCAGUUUGAGGAAUAGGCUGCGCCGCUGGGGAGCCUUGUUUUUGUUGGGCUUCGGCUUCCGGGAUCUUCUGCAUCCGUUCCAUGACAAGCUCGUACUCGCACUUCUUACCUGCUUGAUUGAUUAACAAAUUGAUAAGACCGAAACAAGUAAUCUAUGUGCAUAUGCCGCUCAUAUGCUCUGCCUAAUCAAUUAUACAUGUAAACAAAAUUCACCGCUCGAGAUGAAGCAAAAAUCAAGAUUUGGCCUUGUUUGAAUUCCCAUUUCUUCCCAAAAAAUUUUACACUUUGCGUUAAUGCAUCUUUCAAUCACUUUUUUUUACCUCACGUGUGUCAUAUACUUACAAUAUAUUUUUUUCACAAAAACUCCAGAAAAUAGUAUCCAGACGGGUUAUUUGAAAUUAAUGUCUUAGCAUCCACAGAAUUUUCUCAAGUACCCCACAGCUUUCUCUUCACAGACUCGACCACAAUUGCCAUGGUCCCCGCAGCUCUC